AUACAUACUCAUAAGUUGUUUUCGAUGAUGAAUCUUCCGAACCUACGAUCCACUCCGUUAAAUAUGAUCUAGAAUAUUUGAAACUUCUAGAGAAUAAAUUUCGUAAUUUUUCGAACUCAUAAUAAAGUCCAUCAAGCGGGCAUAUAUAAAAUGAACGGUCAAAAACGAACGACGUCCUAAAAUUGGAUGAUAGUAUCCUUCAAUUUAAGAUCGAAGUUAUUGGUCUUUAUCUAGGUAGUGAAUAGAAUUUUCUAUCAAAAAUUCAACUUAUUCCGAUUCUUUUCCACCGUUAAACUAGCAAGUAUCACAUACCGGCCGUUAAAAAUUGUCAAUUUUGUGAGCUUUUAAUCGUAAGGUAAAUAAUGUCGAAAAAUUAUGAAAUUUAAUUUCUAGAAGUUUUAAAUUCUCUAAAAAAUGUUUAACGGUAUGGAUCGUCGAUUCAGAAGUUUUAUCAUCGAAAACAACUUAUGAGUACGAAGGCGAUCGUACUCAUAAGAGUAUAGUAGCCGGACUCUCUCUCUCUCUCUCUCUCUCUAUAUAUAUAUAUAUAUAUAUAUAUAUAUAGUCCGGCUGGGAUACUAUCGAUAGCACAAAGCAUUUGGUGCUACCAAGUUUUCUACCGUUAGAUUUAUCUCUUUUAUUAUUUUCAACCAUUAGAUUAUACUAUUCAACCAACCACCCACUCAACCCUAGGGGGCCCACAUCAUCCUAACCGCACAUCUUUUAAUCCAAUUAAUGGUAGAAAACUUAAUAGUACCAAGUCAUUGGUACUAUUAAUAAUAUUCCAGCCUAGUUCUAUAUAUAUAUAUAGAGUCCGGCUGGGAUACUUUCGAUAACACGAGGUAUUUGGUGUUAUCAAGUUUUCUGCCGUUAGAUUUACCUCUUUUAUCAUUUUUAACCGUUCGAUUAUACUAUUCAACUAACCACCCACUCAACCCUAGAGGGCCCACAUCAUCCUAACCACACUUCUUUUAAUCCAAAGGUAGAAAACUUAAUAGCACAAAGUCAUUGGUGCUAUAUAGAGUUCAGCUAUGGUGCUUGUAAAAGCUCCAAGCACUUGGUGCUUGUGAGUUUUUUACCGUUAGAUCUACUCUUCGGAUCAUGUUCAACCAUUAGAUUAUACUAUUCAACCAACUACUCACUCAACCCUAGGGGGCCCACAUCAUCCUAACUACAUAUCUCUUAAUCCAAUGGCUAAAAACCUACAAGCACUAAUGUAUUGGUACUUUUAAAAGCAUAGGAGCUCAAUUCUAUAUAUAUAUAUUUCUGAUAUCGGUUUGCGGAAUUAACAUAUAUACACUUACUUGAACCCUGGUAUUUGGACAUUGAGAAUGUUGUUCAUGGCUAGAAUCUGAAGGUCUUUUUGUGCAAGAAAGACUUCUUUUCCUUCUUUAUAACUGCUUCCGAAAGCUGUGUGGGAGAUCACAUCGGCAGUCAACUCCUGAAACUGCAAGCUUAGAUCUACUUCUGCUUCCUUGUUCUCAUUUUGGAUCAUCUGCGUCUCCCACUCCUCCAUCAUGGAUCGAGCUAUUUGCGCCAUUUUCGUAGUCAUCAUCUAUAUAUAUACCAUGCAAAAACAUCAAUAUAUAUAUAUAUAUAUAUAAUUAGUUAGCCAAUAACAAUCACCAUAUAUAUCACAUAGUUUAAACUUUGUUGAGUACGUACCUUGAGCUUGUCCAUGGUGAAAGCAGGGUUCACCACCCUCCUGUGGCGAGCCCAAUCUUGGCCAUUUGUGAGGACCAAACCCUUCCCCAAGAGAGCUUGUAUGUUUGGGUGGGGAUCAUUUUUGGCGUAGAACCCAAACUUGUUGGAGAGCACUUGCUUCACCAUGUCAGGGUUGGUGAUUGCCAAAGUUGGUCUUGGUCCAAACCAAAACAAGAAGGUUCCUCCUGUGUGAAACAUAACAUAUAAUUUUUUUUUUUUUUAAAAAAUCACUUUUUUAUAGCUAAAGUUUUAUUAGAACCAAUCCUUAUAAGUCCCUAUCAUAUUUUGAGCUCGAUUACUGUAUCCACCAUUUUAUUACAUAUAUAGCCAUCUAUUUUUGUUAUCCUUUAGUCAGUCGACGUGACAUAGUUCACCUGAUAUAUGUAUACCCACCAUAUGCGAAUGCGUGAGCAAAAAUAUUAAGACUAAUUCUGCACCAGUUUUUGCUCAAUUAUUUUUUUGAGAUAAUUUAUUAGAAAUAAAAGUGUUAAAUAUUAGUUCAUCUGAUCGUGCGUGAGCAGAAAUAUUAAGACUAAUUGUGGACCAAUUUUUACUAGAUCGUCAGUUGACAUGAUCAUAUAGUUCAUCUGAGAUAUGUCCAUCAUGCGUGCCCAUGAGCAGAAAUGUUAAGACUAAUUCUGUACUAGUGUUUACUAGAUUGAUCUUUUAGUCAGACGUCGACAUGAUAUAGUUCAUUUGAUAUAUGUCCAUAAUAGGCGCGCUGUUUGAAGUGAAAAAAAAAAAAAAUUUUUUGAAACCGAUUAGAUUCAGACUCAAACAAUUUUUAUAGGUCUCAUGUUGACCAGAAAAUUUUGGGGCCAAUAAUUACAAUUUAAAAUCCACAAUAGGCCCAUUAAUAAAUGUGAGUGGGUGAGCCCUUACGAAAGCCCAAACAAAUAAAUAAAAAAAGUGAGGGGGGGGGCUUUAUUUCAGCCCGUUAUCAUUUGAGCCCAAUAAAUUAAGGUGGGUCUGAUCAGCGACGGCCCACACCCACACCUUAUAAAGUAUCUAGUCGAAAUCCGAUUUCAAAUCAUAAUCCAUUCAAAAUUCAAAUUUUGAAUUUUGAACCCCCAACAAAUUACCAAAAUAGCCUCCAAUAAUCCAUUCAAAAUUCGAUUUCGAAUUUCGAAUUCCUCAACCAUUUACCAAAACAUCAUCCAACAAUCUAUUCGAAAUUCGAUUUCGAAUGUUGAAUUCCCUAACCAAUUCCCAAAAUAUCAUCCAAUAAUCCAUUCAAAAUUCGAUUUCGAAUUUUGAAUUCCCUAACCAAUUCCCAAAAUAUCAUCCAAUAAUCCUUCAAAAUUCGAUUUCGAAUAUUUUGAAUUCCCCUAACUAAUUCCCAAAUAUCAUCCAACAACUCCAUUCAAAAUUCAUUUCGAAUUUUGAAAUUCUUAACACACCCUCCCUCCCAUAUAUAUAAAUACGGGAACCGAAAUCAAAUUCGGAUUUUUUUUUUGGAGAAGAGAUCGAUUCACGAUAGUAUAAUUGCUACACACCACUUCCAAGUUCAAAUAUUCAAAAGAGAAGUCCGAUGUGGACAAUCAAGCUCCGCUAGUGGCUCAUAUUUUCCAUAUUAACUAAAAAAAUUUUAGACAACAUGCCUCCAACACCUUUUUUUCUUAUUUUUUUCAAAAAAAUUUGUAUUUUUUUUUUUAUUUAUUUUGCUCGAGAAGCCAAUUGACGAUUGCCUAAUGCCAUCCCGAACCCUAAGGUGAGUUAGUAUUCCGUCUAGGCAAAGAUAUAUUUUAGGUAAAUAGAAAAUACUGGGAUUAUUUUUUAUUUUAUUUGCCGUCGAGAACAUCGAAAUUCUGGCGCAUAACCCGACCCUAAGGUGAGUUAAGCAUGUCGCGUCAAUGUUUGAUCUGCCCCCGGGGCAACGAAUGACCACCUCCACGGUCGAUGAUUUAGGCCGAUAGGUAAGCUAUUCAUGAAUUCAGAUGAGUCAUUUAUAGUAUGUGUGGUGAUCAGUAUUGGCGAGUCCAUUGACUUCGCAAUAGAUGCCAGCACUAAUGUUAGAUUACCCCUGAGAUUGGGGAAACCUUCCGAUUAAGAGACCUUUAUAUUGGCUUGGAUGAGGAUGGAGUCGUAUCUCGAUUAUUUGAAUCCUAAGUAUAAGUAUAUUAAGGAUUCAGUUGGAUCGUGAGGUUGUAUUAAGUGGCCUACAGUAUAUGUGUUAAGACCUAGAUCGAUAUUGAAAACUCUAUGUAUUAAGAGUCUAAUGGUUCUGAGAAUAUGGGUAUGAAUUGGGUAUUUGGUUCAUGGGAUUCUGGUAUUAGGUUGGAUGUAUAGUUCACAUGGAUUUUAGUCCAUAAAUUUGUGUAUGGUUUAGUGGGGUUUGGUCCAUCGAGACUUUAGUUGUGUCAUGGAUUUGGUCCAUGAGGGUUUGGUUUGGCUCUGGGAUUUGGUCCAUAGAGAAUUAGUUAGUUCAUUGAAAUUUGGUCCAUGGAGGUUGAUUUUGGCUCCAUGGAUUUGGUCCAUGAGAUUUGGUUUUGGUCUGGCUUUGGUCCCCAUGAGGUUUGUUUUGGUCUAUGGAUUUGUCCAUGAACUUGGUUAUUUGGCUCAUAGAAUUUGGUCCAUGAGUUUGGUUCUUGGCUGCAUGGAAUUGGUCAUGAAAUUUGUUGUUUUGCUCAUGGGAUUUGGUCCAUGAGGUUUGGUUUUGGCUCAUGGGAUUUGGUCCAUGAAAUUUGGUUUUGGCUCAUGGGAUUUGGUCCAUGAGAUUUGGUUUUGGUUCAUGGGAUUUGGUCCAUGAACUUGGUUUUGGCUCAUGGGAUUUGGUCCAUGAGAUUUGGUUUUGAUUCAUGGAAUUUGGUCCAUGAGGUUUGGUUUUGGCUCAAAUGACGGAAUGCUAACUCACCUUAGGGUCGGUUAUGCGCAACAAUUUCGAUUGCUUCUCGAGGCAAAAUAAAUAAAAAUAAUCCAUAUUUUCUAUUACCUAAAAUAUAUUUUGCCUAUGACGGAAUACUAACUCACCUUAGGGUCGGUUAUGCAUGGCAAUUUCAAUUGCUUCUUGAGGCAAAAUAAAAAAAAAAAAAUACAAAUUUUCUGAAAAAAAAAAGAAAAAAAGGUGGAGGACAUGUUGUCUAAAUUUUUAGAUAAUAUAGGCAAAAUAUGAGCCACCAGCGGACUUGAUUGUCCACAUCGGACUUCAAGGGUAAGAUUGCAAAAAGUCCCCGGCUGUGGUAUAACCCACAGGCAAAAUUGGGAUCCCCGCUGUGAGAAAAUCUUUCGAGACUCACAGGCAAAAGUUAGGGGAAGGUACCUGGUGAAAACCCAUAUGGGCGCCAGAUUACCCAAGAUAUAUUUUGCCUAUGACGGAAUGCUAAUACACAAACUUAAACUGCAAAUUAAGUUCAUAUGCGAACCCAAAUUGCAAAUUAAGUUCAUAUGUGAAUCCAAAUUGCAAAUUAAGUUCAUAUGCGAACCCAAAUUGCAAAUCAAGUUCACCUCCAAACCUAACCAAACCAAGUCCAAAUAAGCAUCCAAACCAAAACCCAAAACCCAAAUAAACCCAAACCAAACCAAGUCCACAUACAAAGCCAAACGGCCCAAACCUAACCAAACCAAGUCCAAAUAAACAUCCAACCCAAAACCAAAAUAAAUCGAAACCAAACCAAGUCCACAAAUAAAAUCCAAACCCAUUCCCCAAAUAAGACCAAAACCCAAACCCAAAUAAAUCCAAACCAAGUCCACACAUAAAACCAGAACCCAAACUCGGACCCAAAUAAAACCAAAUCUCAUGGACCAAAUCCCAUGAGCCAAAAUCAAAACCUCAUGGACCAAAUCCCAUGAGCCAAAACCAAAUUCAUGGACCAAAUCCCAUGAACCAAAACCUCAUGGACCAAAUCUCAUGAACCAAAACCAAACCUCAUGGACCAAAUCCCAUGAGCCAAAACCAAACCUCAUGGACCAAAUCCCAUGAACCAAAACCAAACCUCAUGGACCAAAUCCCAUGAGCCAAAACCAAGUUCAUGAACCAAAUCCCAUGAACCAAAACCAAACCUCAUGGACCAAAUCCCAUGAGCCAAAACCAACUUCAUGGACCAAAUCCCAUGAACCAAAACCAAACCUCAUGGACCAAAUCCCAUGAGCCAAACCACGCGCAUGAGCAGAAAUGUUAAUUAAGAGUAGUUCUAGACCAGUUUUUACAGGAUUGACUUUUUAGUCCGUGGACAUGAUAUAGUUCAUCUGAUAUAUGUCCAUAAUAAGCGCGCAUGAGCCAAAAUGUUAAUUAGGCUAACUCUAAACCAAUUUUUAUUAGAUUAACUUUUUAGUCGGUCAACAUAAUAUAGUUCAUCUGAUGCACAGAAAUGUACAAAUUCUGGACCAGUUUCUACUAUAUAGAUUGAUGGUUUAAAUAACUUAUUAGAAAUAAAAGUGUUACAGGUAAGAUAUGAAAAAGGGAAUCAUCUUUCACACCUCCAAUACAACACACAAAGAGACAAAUUUUGCUUAGUGCGUGCGUACGACCAUCUUUUCUUUUGUUGUUGAAGUCAAUAUUAUCCACACAAUAACCAAAUCACAUAUAUAAUUAAUACAUGCACACUACAACAAAAACGAUAUAUAACGACACUUUUAAAUAUCAGUAUAAGUAAAAAUAAAAGUGCUGCUGGCUAAAUUACCGACACUUUUAAAAAGUGUUGCUAUAUGUGAGGUCGCUAGGUAUAUAGUGACAAUUAAAGAGUGUCGCUAUAAUCUAAAAGAGUGUUGCUAAUUUACCAAUAUUUAUUUAAGCAUCUAGCAACAACCGAAACUCUAUCUCGUUAGCUGCAGUGGCGGAGUAGACUAGAGGAAGGGAUGAGGAGAAGGAGAAAUGGUAAUCGAUUUUUCUUUUCUUUUUCUUUUAUUUUUUUUUUCUGUUUGUAAUCGGACCGAAUGGGCUGGGUGGGGUGGGUUGAGUAGAGUACCCUUUUAUUUUUAGUUGGAUUAGACUUUAUAUUUAGGCAUUAGUACGUUUUUUUUUUUUAAGUUUUGACAUAAAUAUGACACUUACAUAAAAGUGUUCCAAAUAUGUGUUCCUAUAACCUAAUUCUGUUAUAGUGACACUCAUAAUAAUAAAUAAUAAGCACCUAUUAACUAAGUCCAAAUAAAAAAAUAAUAAUAAUUAUGCAAUUAAUAAAAUGAACAAUUAUACCAAUUCUCUAAAAAUUAACUUAUUAAAUACUCAAUUUUCCAGAAUGGGUAUUAUUGAUGUGUUGGCAUAUACAAUAUAAAAUAUUUCGCUCAGUUUAUUUAUAUAAAUUUAAAGUGUUAUAGGAAUUUGGUAAACCCAAAACAAUAUGUAGUAGUUGGCCUUACCAAUUUAUAUAUUGUGGAUGGUGUUCUUUCAAAAGAAUAAAAUAAUAAUAAGAAAAUACUUAUAUAAUAAACAAAAAAAAUUUGGCCAUUAUUUAGAAAAGCAUGUUCUAGUAAUUAAUGCCCCCUCCACCACCACAAGAGAAAAAAAAAAGAAAGAAAAGAAAAGAAAAGAAGAAGAAGAAGAAGAAGAAGAAGAAGAAGAAUUAAAAUUGUUUGUACACUAAACCAAAAUCUUUAAUGCAUUAUCUUAUCUUAUCUUUUUUACCCAAAAACACUUGGUUAGAAUUCGAGUUCUAGUUGGGAGGACUCAAAAUUUUUCGAUUCGCAUGCAAUAUAUAAUUAAUAAUAAUAAUAAAAAAAAACAAAUAAGAAAUCUAAAAGAUCAGAGAUGAAAUUAAGUAGUAAUUAGAACAUACCAUAUUGCGAAAUCCAUUUGGGAUAGUGAGGCAAAAUCCUUGUGGUGAAAUCAUGUGAGUGUAUGUCCAACACAAUCCCCUGAGCUUCUCUUUUCAUUCUCUUGAUCUCCUCAGUUGAUCCUACCCAUAGCUUGUACUCGGGCCCCUCGAUCCCUUGAUCCCUAAACUUUUUACUUAUUACGUACGGCCUCCACAGCACAGAUGCCAAUACGCUCCAGAUCCUCGGAAUAAGCACCACAAAAAUAGAUCCCAAUAUCAACCCAACAACAUAAGUUGUAUCCAUUUUUUCCUUUUUUUUCUCUCUUUUUGGUGUUGCUCACCAAAGAAGUGUUGUGUGUAGGAUCAACUUGGUUUAGAGAUGGUGUAGUGGUGUUUAUUUAUGUGGGGUAUUUAUAUUACAAUGGGGAACAUAGAUGCUUGUGUUUUAAUUGAUUGAGUAAUUGACUGAUUGAUUUGUCCUGUUUGCUUUCCUUUUGCUUGGAAAUGAGAUCAUGGGUGAUGUAAGCUAGGGACGAAGCCAGAAUUCAAUCACAAGGGGGGCCAAAAUAUGUACAAAUAAAAAAUUUAGCAGAUAAAUAAAAUUUUAACUACUCAAAUUUUUAAUAAAAAAAUUUAGUGAUUAGAUAAUUAAUAUUAAAAAAUAUUAAAUUUAUUUCUUUAAUUUACACUCGCUUAACUUCUAAUUAUUUUAUUUAUAUUAUUUCAUUCAAAUAAUUUAAGAAUUUUACUAAAUCUAAUAGCAAUUUAGUUAGAAUUUAAUUUUUUAAAAUUUUUAUUAAUAAAAUAAUAACAACCAAUGACUAAUAUUUAACAGAGCUAUUAAAUUUAGCAUACUAUUUUAUUUAGUUAAAUAAAUUAGCUCAUCAAAAUAAUUGGAAAGUUAAGAAUAUAUAAAUAAAAUAUUUAAAGUUGNUAAUUAAAAGGUUCUUAAUAUAUUUUUACCUAUAAAACACAUAAGAAGAGAGAGAGCUUCUAUAUUAGCACUAAAAACUUUUUACAAAAUAGGCCGAUAUAUUUUAAAAAUUAACUAAAAAUAUAUAAACUACUAAAGGACUAUAAAGUAAAUAUUGAAAAGUUGAAAAGGGCCCUGGCUCCUUUGGGUCUAUAUAUGGUCCGUCCUUGUGCGUAAGCCUUGGAGUCUUGGCCCACAAGCCAACAAUUCUUUUCAAAAAAAUUUCACUUUGGUCCCCUAAAUUUAUAAUAUUUUAAUUUUUUUAAUAGCUUACUAGUGGAUUGUUCUCUAAUUUUAAAAAUAUGGGGGGGCCCCCACAUGGCUUGCAAGCCAAAGAAAACUCUGAGGGGGAUAGUGAUGCAUGGGGAUAAACAAAGAGGUUAAUUUGUUUGAACAUUGAACAUUUAUAUGUGUGGUGGGGGGUAUAUGGCAUGUGGAGGUGGUCUACUAAUUAAUUACCAACUAGCACUAAUAAAAAGAUUAAUUAUUGGAAAUUAAUAGUUAAUUAGUACAUGGAAGUAUCUAGAUUAUGAAACAUGCAUGCAACUAUUUUUCUUCGUAAUUAAUUAGUUUGUACUCAGGACCGCAUGCUCUAAUGUCAUACUAAAAAAUCAUAUGAAAGAAUCAUAUAUUGUCACUAUAAUAAAUCUGGUACUUAAGGACACUUUAACUAACAAUUAGCAACGCUUUAAAGCGUCGGCAAGAAUUAAUAACCCUAAGUAAACAUGUCGGAAUAAAUAUAUUGACGCUUCAAUAUAGCAUCGAAAAAUUUUUAGCAGUAUUUGAUAAAAAUAUAUGUUUAUUAGCGACGCUUAAUUAUGAUGUAGGCACACGCCAAAUAUUGAAUAUAUUAGAAUAUAUAUAGUGUUGUCUAAAAAGUAUCGUUUAAAACAUAUAUAUUAAAAGUUUAAACUGGUAGAGAAAUUAAUACUACUUUUAAUGCAUUUAAUCAACAAGGGAAAUGCUUAAUUUGGGUCUCCAAAAAUAUUACUCUUAUAUAUAUACAGCUAUCUAUACCUAUACAUUAUUUUUCCUAAUUUUUUUGCCACGUGGCGAAUUCUCCUUCACUUUUUCUCUUCUCUCAUCUAACUUUUUCAUCCAAUGUUUCAUCUUCCUAAACUCCCAUCUCUCAAUUAAUGUGCUUACAUAAUAUCAUCUCCAUCCAAUGCUUCAUCUUUCUAACCCCCCACCCAAUGCUUCAUCUUCCUAACCCCCCUAUCUCUCAAUUAAUAUGUUUACAUGGUUUCAUCUCCAUUUCUCCUUUUUUUUUUUCAUAUUGUUUUUUUUUUCUCCCCCCUAUCUCUCAAUUAAUAUGUUUACAUGAUUUCAUUUCCAUUUCUUCAUUUUUUUUUUCAUAUUAUUUUUUUUCUUUUUUUUCUUAGCGCACAAAAAGGGCUCAUGUUUUAUAACUUUUUUAAAUUUUUUGUUGUGUGUGGAUUGAAAUUAGGAUUUCAAGGAUCGCGACGGAGCGCUGGAUUUGGAGUCAGUGAGAGAAAGAAGCAGAGGAUGUGGAUACGGGAUUGAUAUGGUUGUGACUAAAGAGGAGCUCGACACUAACGGCGAAGGCGAUAUAAAGAUCGAAAUUUGCCUCUCCGAUGUCGAUAGUGCAAUGAAGAUGUGUGUGGGGUAAAAAAAAUUUUAUUACUUAUUUUAUUAUUAUUACGUGUGAUUUAUUUACCAAAAUUAUAAAUUUUAUUAUAUCUAUACCUAUAUCUAUUUUAUAUUUUAUAUUUGUGUUUAUUUAAGUUCCAUAUCAAAUCAAAAAAUUUAAAAUUUUUAUUUUAUUUAUAUUUUAUAUUCUAUAAUAUCAUUCCGUCGCAAUGCGCGGGUAACUUCACUAGUGUUCAUAAAUACAUGUGAUACCUUGGUGAAUGUGCGUGCAUAAACCAGUCAAAGACAUGCAGCUACAUAAUUAUAUACGUUAGCAUAUAUAUUGACAACAUAUAAUAACCAGCAUGUAAUGCUUUUGUAUCACUCUACGCAUGAAUCAAGAAGGUGUUAUGCAUGUAUAUGACUCUUAAUCCAAAGUAUAUCGAUCUAAUCAAAUUUGCACACCUUGCGAAGAGGGAAAAGGUUAAAUUUUCUUUCUUGCUAAAUGUAAAAUUUUAUAAUUACGGUAUCAAAGCAGCAGAUCUUCUAAUUAAUAAUCUCAUCUAAUUCUCUUCUAUUUGAUAAAUCUCUAUAUAUUAUAUAUUGAAUAAUAUAUAAUAUCAUAUGGCAUCAGAUCAGUCGAUUCUGAACUCUCACCGUCCCGUAAAAUCGUCGCGUUUUGAUACUCACCUUUAAUAUUUAACUAAAUUAAAUGAUAUCAUAGUUUCUAGAAGGCCGAGGAUAUUUGACGUGGUCGAGACCACAGUUAGUUAAUUCGCGUUUAAUACGCGAAUUAAACGGCGAUUUUUUUACAUACGAAUUAAACGGCGAUUUUCGUUUUUUUCCGAAAAAAUCGAAAAAAUACGCGAUUUCUUCCUCAAAAAUCAUUAUUCGCGAAUUAUUCGCGAUUCGCGAAUAAUUCGCCCAAAAACUCGGCGAUCGCGAUUGCGGUCGCGGACUCGCGGCCGAGGGUCGCGUCGUCGCCGGCUCGCCACUUGUGUCGUCGCUGCUCUCGUGGCCGCUCGUGUUGUUGCCGCUCGCAUCGUGGUCGUCCUCCGCCGCUCUCGCGGGCGCCGGGAGCAAGGUCGCGGCAGCGGAUCCCAUCUCCUCGCCCGAUGCCGUUUUGGGAAAGUGGAAGUUAAACAGUAAUUUUUGCGGGGCUUUUGGGAGCAUGGAGAUGCGCAGUCCACGAGGCUAUUUCAGCCUCCUGGACCGCAUGAGGGGGAGGUCCACAGUGGACCUCCGUCUCAUAUAUANUAUAAUUUUUAUUUAUAAAUAUAUAUUCAUUUAUUAUAUAUAUUAUUUUAUUUUUAUAUAUAAAUAUUUAUAUAAUAUUUUAUUUAUAAAUUUAUAAUUAUUUAUUACUAUUUUUAAAUAUAUAAAUUUUAUGUAUUAUUAAUAUAUGUUUAUUAUUAAUAUAGGAAUAUAUUUAAUCUAUAUAUAAAAAUUAUAAUAAUAAUAUAUAUAGUAAAUUAAUAUUUAUAUACUUAUUAUAUAGCCGAAUUUUUGAUCCCGAAUUUUUAAUUGGUGAACGUAUUAUAUCCGUAUAAAUUACAUAUCCGAAUAAUUACCGAACCCGUUUUUUAGCCGUAUUUUUCAACGAAUUUAAAAAUUAAAAAAUAAAUUUUAUCCGAAUUAUAUCCGUACCGAAUUUUUGCCGAAUCCGAAUUAACUAACUACGGUCCAAACUAUGUACGUAGGACGAGCCAGGCAUCAGAGGAAAAGAAAGAUGGUGCACAUAUCAUUGUUUGCACUAAUUAUUACAUUUAUUUAUGUUUAUUUAUUUAUUCCAAAAAAGUGAGUGGCUUCUAGAAGGCUUGUGAUAUUGCUAUUCCAGGUGCGCUCGAUCUCUACUAGAUUCUCUUUUCGUCUUUAUCAUUGUCCUUUUAUUUUGCAUGUGCAUUCACGGAUCAGUGUAAAGGAUAUAUAUUAGUCAUUUACAAGAUAAAGUAAAAAUAUUGUUCCCUAUAAAAUGCAAAAAAAAUUUUAAAUAUCAUCCUUGUUGUUUCGCACUUUCUCACUUUAAUAUCUUAUAAUAUAAAAUAACCGACCGUCCCUAGCGCAAGUGGCAAAAGGACUUGGUAGUUGGUACCCGAGAUCCAAGUUCGAAUUUUAGUUGAUUCACAUUUCCAGCUAAGUUUAUUUCUAAAUGAAAUAAAUGAAGCGGGCAGCAUACUACCUUUCUCUUAAAAAAAAAAAAUCUUAUAAUAUAUAUAAAGUAUAUCAAUUUAGCGUACGUCCUAUGGUUUCAUUUUUCUUUUUUUGUUUGCUCCCCCGUUAAUAUUUUGUUAAAUUAGAUAUAUACCAAAAACUUUAGAUACGCUAUUUAGGUUUAUUGAAUAUUCAUUUUAGUAUAUUUUAGUUUUAACUUUGUCACUAAUUUAACGAAAAAAAAUAGUGGAGAGGAUAAUAAAAACAAAAAAUAAAACCACGAGGUACUAAAAUAAAAAAAGUGGGAGACCAUAGGGUGGUAUUUGAAGUUUUUUCUAUAAUAUAUGUAGCAUAUUUUUGCUUAAUAGUUUAAGUUUGUGGGUUGGAUGUGAGUCUUUUAGAUACAGUGAUACAGGCUUAAACCGCAUUGAGAGGAACGAAGUAUAAGAACAAAAAUAGAGGAAUAUACAAAAAACCAUUUCUGCGACAAAGACGAAAAUAUUAUUAAGCAGCUUUGAAAAUUGAUUACAUGCAUUAAUCGAACGCCAUGUUUGUAUAUAGAGGUGAUACCUGAAUCCUACUAGAAAUGAAAAUAAUAAAUCCUUAUAUAUCUCUAAAUCUAAUCCGAUUAGAAAUAAUCAAAUAAUCGAAUUCAAAUAGGAAAAAAACAAAACUCCGAAAAUAACCUAAUAAAAACGCAAAAGCUGAGGCGAAAACAAGCGAAUUUGGGUCUCAAACUUGGCUGGAACUGCUUUGCCAUUCGACGUGCAGAUUUCGAAAAGUGUUUUCCGAAUUGGGAUUGCACGCUGAAAUCGGAUGCUUAGCGAAAAGUUAUGACUAUUUAAAGAUUUUUUGUAAAAUUCUCGUUUUCCGUUCCAUUUGGUAUGUAUCACGUUUUCCCAAAAACCCUAAUGAUAAAUUGGCCACAUAAUAUAGUAUUAGAACCUGAUUUACACACCUUAAUUUAGGGCCCGCCGAGUAGACGAGUGCUAAUUGCGUUUAACAUGUGGAUUGCAUUUAUAUCAUGGUACAACUAAGUUUAUUUAUAAAUGAAAUAAACGAAACGGAUAGCAUGCUACCUAUAUCUCAAAAAAAAAAAAAUUAUAUCAUGUAUAUAUAUAUAUAGAUAAUAAGAGAGAGAAAACAAGGGAAGAGAAGUAGAGAGAGAGAGAGAGAGAAGAAAGUAUGAGAUCAGAGAAUAGGACUAUAUCGAUAGUGCUUUUGAUGUUUUAACCGUUGAGUGAAAAUGGUAGGGUUGAGUGAUGAUGGUAUUGUGUAGCGUAGAAUAUGUUUGAUUCAAAAAUAUAAAUAAUUGGGAGUAGAUCCAAGAAUUUUCUUAGAACUUAGAAGCACCGAGGAUGUGGUGUUUUUAAAAGUAUUAGCUCAAUAUAUAUAUAUAUAUAUAUAUAUAUAUAUAUAUAUAUAUAUAUAUAUAUAUAUAUGGUUGACGAUUCAUAUGUAGGCUAUUGUCUGAUCACAUUGAGUCUGUGCCACAUGUAUGCCAUUAACGUCUAACAGGUGUUAAGGAAGAAUUAAUUAUUAAGAAUAAUAGCCUUAUAUCGAUUACAAAAUAUCAUUUUAGAUCUUUGGAUUUUUCAAAAUAUAAAAAUGGUGCUUUUAGCAAGUCUAUGCUUUUCAGAUUGUAUUGAGUUUCAAAAGAUAUCUCACAUAUUCUUAGUUUUUCGUGUCUUAGCUCUCGACCCAUUUUUCCUAACAAAUACUAGUAUUAAAGCUAGCAAUUUGAAACUUACGGCUGAAACUAAGUUUUUAGUAGUUAAUUAACAACUAUUAAGACUACAUCUGGAUCACAUUUUAUCAGAUUUAUCUUUCAGAUAAUAUAAUAAUAUAAGAGUGAGACAUACUGCCCUCCUUUCUAUUCCAAAAUGCUCUGCAUUCGAUUUCUACAUCUGCUAUAAACUCUUAACACGAUGCCAAUAUUAUAUAAAAUUGAUUGAUCAACUAUAUUUUUAUAAUAUUGGUUGAGUAGUUCUUAGAUUGGUGUUCUUAGAUGAGUCCAUAGAGACUUUUAAAAUGUGGGCUAUUGGUCUUCCUAGGUUGAUCACUACAAUUCUUAAGGUGUUAGUACUAUACUAGUUAUUUUAAUUAUAUAUUUUUAUCUCAAUAAUUAAUUUUUUUUUUUCCCCAUAAGUAACCUUAGUUGACUUUGACAAUGACACUUUCUUAAUUACGUGCAUCCCAAGUUUCUAGAUCCAAUCCCACUAGACAAAGCAAAAGAAACAAUUUGAAUUGAAAGACUCCACUAUAUCUUUAGUACUUUUUUAAUUAGUCAUAUAAAUUUUUAAUUUUGAAAAUUAAACUUUCUGAGUAUGUCUCUAUCAUCAAUCAAAGUUAUUAAUUAUACACGUGUUUUUUUGACUUAUCCUACUCUUAAAUCUCGGUAUUUGUAUAAUUACCAUAAUUCGAAGAGAAAACAAUGGUAUUUUUCUUUGUAUUUUAAAGUUUUGCAAAAUUAUAUACAAUUCAAGCGGCUAAAACGGCUAUAUAAUUAGUAACUUCGUUUGAGCACAAAGACUUAUUGAGCUAUUGAUAAAGUUCUGAGAGCCAAAUCGGCCAAGUUAAAUGUUUAGACGUCUAUAUGCAAAACAAAAUAAAAAAGCUAAAAUUCAAGGGCGCUUAAUUUUGUAUUUUUUUUUUUUCAAAAUUUAAUUAGGUCGAGGUCAUGUUUAAAAGUCAGAAUAAGUUACACAAGUAUAACUUAAUUAGCUAUAUAAAAUUAUCAAAUGUGAUUGUAAGAAAAAUAAAUAAUUGGGAUAACUUCAAAAACCCUCCGUGGUUUCGCAUUUUCUCACUUUAGUACCCUAUGGUUUAAAAUAUAUCAAUUUGCCCUCCCGUGGUUUGGUUUUUCUCUUUUUAUUAUCAAUUUUAUUAUUAUUUUUUCUUAAAUCAGUGACAAAGUUAAAAUUAAAGGGUACUAAAGUAAAUAUUCGAUAAAUCUAGGUGGGUAUCUGAAGUUUUUUACAUAUAAUUUAAUAAAAUAUUAAGAAAAAAAGCUACCGAAAAGAUAAAAAUAAAACCAUAAGAGGGCAAAUUGAUACACUUUAAACCAUAAGGUUCUAAAGUGAGAAAGUGUGAAACCACGGGGGAUUUUUUGAAGUUUUUUCUAAAUAAUUUUAACAACUUGAAAGAUUUUGAUAUUCAUGAUUUGGUCGGAGAAUAUAUAUAUAUAUAUAUAUUUCUCUUAGGAGGAAAAUUAUAUUAUCGGAAACNAUUCAUGAUUUGGUCGGAGAAUAUAUAUAUAUAUAUAUAUUUCUCUUAGGAGGAAAAUUAUAUUAUCGGAAACAAUGACUUGAAGGCUGAAUAUAAUAUUCAGUUCUAAAUAUUUGAUCACUCUUCUCAUCUACCCAAUUUACAAGCUUCUCAAAUAAAUCAUGAAGAUAUACCAAGUAAAAUAUUUAUACAUCCAAACACGGCCUAAAUAAAAAAGAUAUUAGAUAUAAUAUUUUAAAUAAUCUCUCUUUGGCAUAUCUUUCAGUAUCUUUUAAUGUUCUCCGACUUAAUAUUGUCCAGACGUCUUGGUUCUAUCAAAUAACCUCGAGUACAAACAUGAGAGGGAGUAUUGAAUACUGAGAAUACCUGUUGUUUCAAAAUUAAAAAGCCCUCCAUGCAUUUUUCUUGUUGUAAUUUGGGAUUGAUGAAGAAAAAUAAAAGGGUAGAGGCCGGAUAUUAAUUGAUACAAUUUGUAAGGGGUAGGGGGUUCUUUUAUAAUUUAUUCUAUAACAACAAUAGUAAAAAAAUUCAGCUACUGUCCUUUUGGGAGAACAAUGAUUCUACUUUUUAAAAUCAGAAAACUGAUUUUGAAAGCUCCAUAAUCACAAGCAGGAAAAAGCUGCUUUUCCAAAACUGAUUCUGAUUUUGAACUCAAACUUCUAAUUUUUAUUUUAUUUUAGAUUCAAAGUAUAAAUUUAACAUUAAAUUUAAAUUUUGAAAUUUUAAAUUCAUAUUUGAAUUUUUAAAUCUCAACUUUUCAAAUUUAAAAUUUAACAAUAAAAUUUUAAAAUUAAGUUUAAACUCAAUUCAAAUUAAAUUAAUUUAAAUUAAUUUCAAAUUAAUUAAAUUCAAAAUUCAAAUUCAAAAUUUAAAUUUCAAAACAAAAUUUAAAUUUCAAAUUUAAAUGUUAAAUGUACUUUUAAAUUGAAACAUUCAAACUUCAAACAUUACAAAUUGAAUCAAAUUUAACAUUCAAAUUAAAUUAAAAUUCAACAUUUAAUUAAAACCUGAAUUUAAAAUUAAAUGUUAAUUUUCAAAAUUUUAAAUUUUAAUAAUUGAAAAAUUUGAAUAAUUUAAUUAGCAUUUGAAAAUUUAAAUUUAAAUUUGAAAUUUUAAAUUUGAAUUUAAAUUUGAAAAUUUAAAUUAAAUUUUAAAAUUCAGAUUAAAUUUAAAAUUUAACUUCAAAAUUUAUUUGUACCAAUUGAAAUCUAAAAACUUAUACUUUUAAAUUAAAUUUAAUUUUUAUAAUUUAAAUCAAAUUUAAAUUAUUUAAAAUAAAGUUAUAAAAAUAUUAAUAACUUCACAACAUAAAAAUUUUUGCUGCGAAACUAGCUUUCAAGAAAAUUACCUGUCAUAAAAUCAAUUUUUCUAAACAACCAAACGCUCAUAAGCUUUCACCCAAAAAUCAUUUCUCAAACCCAAAAUCACUUUACGACGAAAUCACUUACCAGAACUAGUCACAAACAUGCCCUACAGUCAUAUUAGAUAAUAGGGACUGAAUCGAUAUCUCGCUAUUGUAAAAAUUAAUUCUAUGAACAUUUAAAGUAUGAUAGAAACAAAUUUCAAUAAAUUUUGAAAAAUUAUUUAAGUAGACAGGAUGAAAUGAUCCACAAAAUCGACUAGUUUAACGGCUAUUAGCCGUUUGACUUGUUAAAGGUGUAAGUCAACCAACAUUUACUGAAUUUUGAUAAAAAAAAAAUUUAUACUAUUUAAAUAAUAUUUGCAAUUUCACCUACAAAAGUUUAACAUUCUAUUUUUACAAGAUUUUGCAUUUUGCCUAUUUAUUUUCUUGACGUACUCUUAAAUUAACUUGAGAACAGAAGCUCAAUGUUGCAAUCUACUUAACUUUUCUUGUGCUCAUUUCGUACAAGAAACUAAUCCUAAAGUUGCCUCUUACCGACAUCAGGUACUCUCUCAUACCUCUCUUAUUCCUAGACUUUAUUAACAUCCUUUCGUGGAGGGGAGAAAAGUAUUUUCAAAUAAGAAUUUUCAUACAUGUCUAUAAUAAAUGAGCUGAAAAAAUAUCGCUACAAACUCAACUUUUAUCAUGUCUUUAUGCAACAAGUCCUAAAGUUAUUCAAAUAUCAUCUAUCUGUUACCUACAAUUAGAAAAAGACAAUGUAGAAACCGUUUUAUAUAUUUCAAUUUUGUCAUCACACACAAUAUAAUCUCUAUCCAAACAUAUAACUAUAAUAAACAGAGAUAAAAAUGUCAAAAACUAAUAAUAUUAACAUAUGCGAUUAACCUAACCGUUAUCAUAAUGGAUCUAACACGGCAAACGAAACAUUCUUGUAAAUGUUAAACUUUUGCAAGGAAAAAUAUAUGAAUUUGAACCUUUGUAGGAAAUAUAUUGUUAUGAUCACUAUAUUGUGGACAUAUAUGAAAUAACAACUCUUAAUAAAAAACUCCCCAUUUCCAUAGUUGGUCAACGCGAGACUAUGAAUAAUUAUGUCCAAUUAAGUUAAUUAGUUACAGAUAUCCAAAAUUUUACUAGAAUUUGAAUUCGAAUGGAAUCGAUAAUACAAAAUUAUGCUAUCAUAAACAACAGAAACGAUCAAUCUAUAUUUAUAUAUAUAUAUAUACUAUAAGUAAUAUAUAUAUAUAACUAAUAAUAAUAUAUAAUAUAGUAGUUGGAGGACUGGGCCUACUAUUAGUCAUGAAAUUACACAUUAUUCUUGCCACACGUAUCAUUACUUCUCUUUCCUUAACCUCAACCCAAGAGGAAUCCGAUUAUGUUCUACUAGUUUUUUAGAACUUUUAUACAAACUUCUUUUCAUCUAUUUUGCUCUAAAUACUCAUUAAUGAUUAAAUACUAUAACCCAAGGAGGCUGAUACACCACAUCAACCCUAGUGGAGACCACUAUGCAACUCUAAAUCGAUUAACUAUCAUCCUAAACCCUAUAAAUUUUUUUCCAGGUCAACCAAAUAUCAGUUAAAAACAUGAUACAAAGACGGUUUAACAUUAUUAGAUGCGCCCAAAUCUAAUUCAUAUCAUAUAUUAUUAAAUUGAUAAUAGUUUAUACUAACUACUAUAUCUAACUAUAUAUUAUAUAGAAGAAGAGAAUCAGAGAAGUAGACGAAAAGAGAAUUAGAGAGAGAGAGAGAGGCAAUCUACUAUCCUAGUCUAUCAGCUUACCCGGUAGCCCGAUANNNNNNNNNNNNNNNNNNNNNNNNNUUAUACUUUUAAUUAAAUUUAAUUUUUUAAUUUAAAUUCAAAUUUUAAAUUAUUUUAAAAAUAAAGUUUAGUAAAAAUAUUAAUAUAUGCAAACAUCAAAAAUUUUUUGCCAAACAGCUUUAGAAAAUUACUUCAGAAAAUCAAUUUUUCUAAAUUCAACCAAACGCUCUAUAGCUUUCACCAAAAUCAAUUCUCCAAACCAAAAUCACUUUUACAGAAAUCACUUCUCCAGAAGCUAGGCCAAACAGGCCCUAAGUCAUUUUAGAUAAUAGGGAUUCUGAAUCGAUGAUCGGUACCGUUAAAAUUAAUCUAGAACAUUUAAAGUAUGAAGAAACUAAAUUUCAUAAAUUUUGAAAAUUAUUUAAGUAGCGAUGAAAUGAUCACAAAAUCGAUAGUUUUUAACGGCCUAUGUAAGCCGUUUGCUUGUUAAAGGUGUAGAGCAACCCAAACAACUUGAAUUUUUGAUAAAAAAAAAAUUUUAUACUAUUUAGAUAAUAUUUGAUAAUUUCAAUCAUGAAUUAAAAAAGUUUAACAUCUAUUUUUACAAGAUUAUUCAUUUUUGGCUAUUUAUUUCUUGACGUACUCUUCAAUUAAACUUGAUAACGAAGUUCAAAAUGUUGCACUACUAACUUUUCUUGGUUUCAUUUCGUACAAGGCAAAACUAUUCCUUAAUUGCCUCUUACCAAUCAUGUCUCUCUACCUCUCUUAAUUCCUAGUUUUAUUAAAAGUCUCUUUCUUGGAGGGGAGAAAAGUAUUUUAAAAAAUGAAUUAAUUUCAUACAUGUCCCUAUAAAUACAGUGAUUGAAAAAUAUAUCCCUACAAAGCUCAACUUUUAUAUGUUCUUCAUGCAAAAGUCCUAAUGUUUUCAAAUAUGUCAUUCUGAUUUGUUACCGUUAGAAAACAAUUAGAGAACCGUUUAUAUUUUCAACUUUGUCAUCACAAAUAUAUCCCUCCAAAAACUAUACUAGUAUAAUAUAAAGAGAUAAAAAUGUCAAAAACUAUUAAGUAUUUAACAUAUGGUUAACUAACGUUUUCUAAUGGAUUCUAACGGCAGAAACAUGUUUGAAAAUGUUAGAACUUUUGCAGGAAAAAUAUAUGAAUGUUGAACUUUGUAGAAAUAUAUUUGUUAUUCACUAUAUUUGUUGGGACAUAUAUGAAAUUAACCCUUAAAAAAAAGACUCCCAUUUUCCAUAGUUGGUCGACGCGGACUAGGAAUUAAUUAUGUCAAUUAAUUAAUUAGUACAGAUAUCCAAAAUUUUACAAAAUUUGAAUUCGAAUGGAAUGGAUAUAAAAUGAUGCUAAUUAAACAACAGAAAUGAUAUAUAUAUAUAUAUUAUAUAUUAUAUAAAUAUAAUAUAUAUUAUAAUAUAUAUUAAUAUAUAUUAAUAUAAUUGGACUGGGCUAAGCUAUUAGUAGCAAAAUCCAUAUUGCCUACCAUUUUUUAGGCGCCUUUGAUCACUCUUUUCAUUAUUUCUAACCAUUUGGAUUAAAUAACUUAACCCAGUGAGACACUCAAACCUAGGGACCACUCAAUCUAACCGAUUAAUAUCAUCCUAACAUCUAUAAAAUUUUCAUCCAAUAGGCUAAAACUUAUAGCUAAGAGGGUUUUACUAUAUUAGUAUUCCAAUUCUAAUUCAUUUAUAUAUAUAUAUAUAUAUAGAUCUAUAUAUAUAUAUAUAGUUAGAGAGAGAGAGAUGAGAGACGAGGAGAGAGAGAGAGAGAGAGAGAGAGGCUACUAAUCCUAUCUAUAAGUACUCAGGAGCCGCCGGUACUCAUCAGAUAGUAUUAAUACUAGCUCUAUAUAUAUGCUACUAAUACUAUCUAUAGAGCAGGGCCUGGCUGGCUCUCUGAGCACGAGCCUGAGCCGUUUUGAUGAUUGAAUUUCCGAAUCGAACGUCACCCGUUAACAUUGAUCUAGUGGCAUUUAUGAAGUUUCUAGAAAAUAAUUUUUGCGAUUUUUUUAUAUAUUUACCUAAUAAUCGAAAGAUUCAAAAUCAAUAAUUUUUAAAUGGUUGAUAAUCUACCGUUUUCAAAGUUAACGGUGUAAGAAUAUUGCAAUAAGAUGAAAUUUUGAUUACAAAAUUCUUUAUAAUCAUUUAAACAAAUCAAUAUUUAUAUCAAAAUAUUUAGUGGCUAAUAACCCCCCCCCCCCCUCACCACUUUUUAUAUGAAUUUUAUUUUUCAAGCCGUUAAAAAAUUAUUGAUUUUGAUCUUUCGAUUACUAGUUAAUAUAUCAAAAAAUCGGGCAAAAUUAUUUCUAAAAACUUCAAAUCCGUUAGAUCAGUCUAACGGAGCCGAUCGUCGAUUUCGAAAUUUCAUCAUCGAAACCUCAGGAGCACGGAGGCCUCCGUGCUCCUAAGAGCACAGCAGGCCUACUCUAUAUAUAUAUAUAUUAUAUAUUAAUAUAUAUAUAUAUAUAUUGUAAGUUGGACUGGGCAUACUAUUGAGUGCAAAAAUCUAUUGUUUCUACCAGUUUUUCAGCGACUUUGGAUCAACUUUUUUCAUUAUUUUCUAACCUUGCGAUAUAAAUCUAUAACCCAGUGGGGACCCACUCAAACCCUAGGGAAACCACUCAACUCUAACCGACUAUAUCAUUCCCGACCUAUCAUUUUUCAUCCAAGGGUUAAUAACUGAUAGCAAAAAGAGCGUUUACUAAUAAUAGUAUUCCACUAAUUCAUAUAUAUAUAUAUAUAUAUAUAUAUAUAUAUAAUAUAUAUAUUAUAUAUAUAUAAUUAUAUAUAUAUAUAUAUAUAAGAGCAGACUGCUGGUGCUCAUCGGACACAGGACGGAAACUACUGUCCUAGAGCCGUUUCGAUGAUGAAAUUUUCAAAAUCGACGUAUCGGCUCCGUUAACUUGAUCUAAGCGUAUUUGAAGUUUCUAGAAAAUAAUUUUUGUCGAUUUUUCGUUGAAUUAACCUAGCAAUCGAAAAGAUUCAAAAUCAAUAAUUUUUAACGGUUGAAAUAAAAAGUCUAUAAAAAGUGGUGAUAUAGCACUAAACAUUUCGAUCAGAAAUAUUGAUCGUGUUGUAGAUAGUAUAAAAAAUUUCUAUCAAAUUUCAUUGAAUUUGAAUGCUUUAUAUACGGUUAAACUUGAAAACGCGAUAUCAUAACCUUUAAAAAUUAUGAAUUUUGAAUCUUCGAUCACUAGUAAAUGAUAUCAAAAAAUCGCAAAAAUUAUUUUUUAUAAACUGUUCAAAUGCGGUAGAUCAAGUCUAACGGAGCUGAUGUCAAUUCAAAAAUUCCAUAUCGAAAACGGCUCAGGACCGGAGGCUCCGUGCUCCUAAAGCACAGCAGCGCCUGCUCCUAUAUAUACUAUAAUUUAUAUUAAUAUAUAUAUAGUAGGGCACUAUACUCUUAUGAGAUUGAGCCGCUCGUACUCAUAAUUGUUUUCGAUGAUAAGGGAUUCCGAAUCGACGAUCCACUUCGUUAAAUAUGAUCUAGAGUAUUGAAACUUAUAAAAUAAAUUUCGUAAGUUUUCAAAAUCAUAAUAAAGUCCAUCAAACGGGUAUAAAAUUAAUGGUCAAAAUCGAAUGACGUCCUAAAAAUAAAUGAUUGGAUCCUUUAAUUUAAGAUCGGAGUUAUUAAUCUUUAUCUAGGUAGUGAAUAGAAUUUUUUAUCAAAAAUUCAACAUAUUCCAAUUAUUUUACAUCGUUAAACUGGCAAGUAUCCCAUACCAGCCGUUAAAAAUUAUCAAUUUUGUGAGCUUUUGAUAAUAAGGUAAAUGAUGUCGAAAAAUUAUGAAAUUUAAUUUCUAGAAGUUUUAAAUGCUCUAGAUAAUGUUUAACGGUAUGAAUCAUCGAUUCAGAAGCUCUAUCAUCAAAAACGACUUAUGAGUACGAGGGCGAUCGUACUCAUAAUAGUAUAGUAGCCGAACUCUAUAUAUAUAUAGAGUUGAGCUAGAAUACUAUCGAUAGCAAACGAGCUCCGUUGCCACCCAUUUGUUUUCGAUGAUAGAGCCUCCAAAUCGAUGAUCGGCACCGUUGAAUGUGAUCUAUACCACUUGAAGUGUUUAGAAAUCAAAUUUCAUACAUUUUUUAUAUUGUUCUCUUGUUCAUCGAGUGGACACAAAAAUGAACGGCUGAAAAUAAAUAUUCUUUAAAAAAUGAUGAUAGGAGUCUUGUAAUCAAGAUCAAGCGUAUAGAUCUUGUUUUAAACAGUUUAAAGAAUUUUCUAACAAAAAUUUAAUUGAUUUGGAUACCUUUACGCCGCUAAACGAGAAAACGCCUCAUAUCGAACAUUAAAAUUACAAAAUUUGAAACCCUUUGAUCAUUAGGCAAAUGAUGUCAAAAAGAUUUGAAAUUUAAUUUCUAAACACUUCAGAUGUUAUAGAUCAUGUUCAACGGUGCCGAUCGUCGAUUUGGAGGCUCUAUCAUCGAAAACAAAUGGGUGGCAACGGAGCCCGUUUGCUAUCGAUUAGGGAUGUCAACGGGUCGGAUAUGGGUCGGGUUUUUAAAAACCCGAACCCGAACCCAAAUACCAAAUUCAUACCCGAAUCCGAACCCGAACCCGACGGGUUUAAAAAAUCCAUACCCAUACCCGGCCCCGACCAAAUACCCGAAACCCGAACCCGAACCCGAAAACCCGAACCCGAAAACCCAAACCCAAAAUAAUGACUUCUUUUUUACCAUAUUUCAAAAUAUAUUAUAGUAAAAUCAAAUUUUCAAAACAUAAUCAAAUACAAUCAAAGUAUGUACAUUCAUGCCAUAUAGAUAUUUCGAUACAAAAUUUCAAAACACAAUCAAAAUUUCAAAACACAAUCAAAUUUUCAAAACAUGUCAUAUAAUAUCAAUAUUUCGAUACAAAAUUUCAAAACACGAUCAAAAUUUCAAAACACAAUCAAAUACAUUCAUGCCAUCAACAUUCAAAACACAAUCAACAAUACAUAGGAACCAUCUGCCAAAUACACCAGCUACACCUAACAUGUGAAAUUGAUGCAUAAGGAUGUUGUGCACUUGUGCUCUGCCUGGAAUACAAUCAUAAAGUUGAAAGUACUAGAGAUUCCUAAAGCAAAGAAACUUUCUUGACCAAUAGGGUAGAUCAAGAAAACAGCAGUAGCAGCUGCAACAGGACUAAUAUCUAGUACAAGUUCUAAAUACAAAAUGUACAAUAAAAUUUUAACAAUUAUCUAAUACACAAUUCGCUUAGCGAUCUCUAAGAUGCGUGGCAAAUAUAUUAUUAUUCCUGUAGCAUGAGAAAAAAGAUUACAAAAACUAUUAAAAGUAUAUUCUAGAUAAUAAAUUCUCAUUAAUUUUAAAAAAAUUGAUUGAUAUACCUCAAAUCACAUCAAAUGAUCCCAUUCCUUCAUCAUCAUCAUCCUCAAACAAGAUCGAUAAUACGAUGUAGCUUAAGAGGAAAUCUACAAAUCAACAAUAUAAAUAUUAUAUAUAAAUAAUAAGAAUAAUAGUCAUUUUUAAAAUACUAAUUGAUAUCACUAAAAUUUAAAAAAAAAUUACUUCUGAUGAAAUUUUGCCACCCAAAGCCCAUCACUGAGUAACACUUAAUGGCUUUAAAAGCACAGAUGAAGCCGAUUCUUUCGAUGUGGCUAAAAUCUACCACUAUGUCUAAAUCGACUCGGAUGCGAAUGGUAGAAAUAGGAAUUGCAAGAUAAUUCUUAGCCAUCAUCAUCAAUGUAGGGACUUGAGGGCGCAUUAACUUUUCCACCCAACCAACCAUUCCCAAAUUAUCUUUCUUUGGUAAAGUAUCCUCCUCUAAAUAUGAUGCGAAUCGGAAUUUAAAGGUUACUAGAUUUUGAUUCUUCUUCUGGCAUCAUACCUUACUUGAUCAAUAAAUAGCAGUAAAAUUCUUCCUGUUAAUCAUACUACCACCGCUACCUUUUCACUAAUAGAAGAAGAAAUGAAUUAGCCAGAUUCACACCAACUUGCCUUGUCCCUCGCUUGUUUCUUUCUUGAUACUCACUAAGGAAUCAUAGCAAUAAUUGUCGAAUUCUAUCAACUUCAUUAUUGACUUCCGACUGUAAAUGGUCGAAAAAUAACAAUCCAAUAGAGAUCAACUUAAUAUUGAUACCAAAAGCAGUUUGCUACCCCAUAAUGCAUGAAUUACAUACCAAUAUUUUCUCAAAUUUUUUUAGCAUUUUUCAAGGGCCAUGAUCUAAUCAUCUCAUUAAGAGUCUACAACCAUUUCAAGUAACUGUCAAUCUAAUAUCCGCACACUUUUUCAAAAAUAGAUUAGCCUGUGGAUAAUCUUGUACCCGAAAAAAUUUCGGUUAACACUAUAAAAAAGUUCGAGUCUCUCACCCAUGUCUACCUGCUACUACACCAAUCGUCUUCUGAAGGCAAGCAGCUGUAUAAUGGCUCACCAAGGUUUCAAGCGUGAAUGAAAACAUCCCUAUAUCACCAAAGCAGAUUGAAGCAUUAAAAACGUGAAUCCCAAUCGCGUUUUACAAUCAAUGACCAAUUUCUUAGUACUUGAAAUGUUCAACUGACGCUGUUUCUACAAACUUUUCCUCUUUUUGUGUGCCUUCCAAAAUGCCAACAUAGCUUGUAUCUCGUAUUUUUCUUCAAGAGCAUCUCCAAUUAUCUGUAAUACCAUCUCUAACAAUUAAAUUAAGAAUAUCGCACGAACAGCUAUGAAAAAAAUGCCCACGCAAACAUAAAAAGAACCUCUUUUCAGCUUAUCCAACAGGAUAUCUAAUAAUACAUCGAUUCCGAAAUGCACGUGUCUACUGUUAGAGUAGAGAGCUUUUUAUCCCCAGAUUCCAAUCAAUAAAUUUGCCAUCAAUACAUUAGUAAGAGUGUAUCAGCAGUUGAUGACAAGGUACAUAGCAAGCCUAAUAUGAAUAAUAAUGAAACGUAACUUUAUGAAUGAAAAAUAAAAAGUAAUACUACUUGCAAUACAAAAUUAAGAAUAUACCUCAACACUCGACUUUGCAACAAUCUAAGUCAUAAUAAAGUGAGCCGUGAUCGCCAUGAGCCUCAUCUUUUUGGUUCUACUGUUCCCCUAUAUCAGUUAAAUAGCAAUUCACUUCGAUUGAUUUCAAUAAUUCAUCGUAUUUUCCUCACAUAAUCAUAAAUUUUAAUAUGUCAUUCUCAUGUAUUCUAAGAAGUAUUUAGAAUUGCCGGUUGAAGAGAACUGAUAUUUACUAAAACCAACAUGCUCUACUAUGGAAAAUUUGGAUAUCAUGCAUAAUAAUCAAUCGCGCUAACAUUCCUCUCGACACCUCUUAGAUCACACAGUAAAAUUGACAAACUCUACUUUCUCUACCACCGAAUUGUUUCUACUUUAGCUUUUUGAUUCACUAUAAUCUUAUAAUGUCUUUAAAUCUGCGCAUUUGGCAUACUUGAGAUUGCGAAGUAAGUGCUGGUGCCAUGUUUUGCAUCUCCGCGCAAUUUUCUUUAACACAAUGAAUUGCCACUUUGGUUUUGUAGCUUCACCAAUUUUUCGCUUUGUUAUUUUAGUGAUUCUACACCAAGGAAGUUCUCUUUUUUUUUAUAUACUUCAUUGGUUCUUCGUUAUCACCGAUCAUAUCACUGGCGUGAUGAUUUGAUCCAAAUUUGUAUAAAUUAUUUGUUAUUUUGUUCUUUGAUGAAAGGUUGAGAAAGCUUUCAUUGGCCGGUUGUGUAACAUUUUUAAUCUUUUUGGUUGUAUAAUUGAGCCUGGCUAAUCAAUCAUAAGAGAGUAAUAAAUUAGAAAAAAAAGAAUCUAAGAUUAGCAAAUAAAACCAAACAGAGUAGCAAUGUUCGUAUCUCUCGCAGCCCCACAAAUCAAAAUACAAUGCAUAAAUUCUAAAAAGAGGUGAGUCAGCACCAAAUCAUGAAGGUGGCCAAAGGGUAUGAGGUUAAGAUUCUAAGGAUUUGGUCUUAUUGGGGGCAGGAAUGCGUGCUGACUAUAUCAUAGGUGCGCGCAUAGUGGUCCGGAUUAAUUACCACACUGUACCAAACCACAUCUACCAAAAAAUAUAGAAGGAUUGCAGGUACCAGCCAAACCUAAAUGAACUAAAUAUACCUGCAUUUACUAAUCAUGAGAACCAUAAUAAUUUCGUUAACAAAACGUGAACUUACAUAUACGAAAUUGCAAAAUUCAACAUUCCAUAAAUAGGAAUCAUCCGAUAAAAUGGGUCCAUCCGUCCUUAGUUUCAUUUACGAUGGUGCUAAUAACUAAUCAACGAUAGUAAUCUCUUCUUUUGUGUGGGCCUUCUUGCAAAAUUAUUCAAAACUUUACUAUUUCGAUUUCUAAUCUUGAAUCACUCAGUCAGAUUUGCUCUUUAUAUAAUGUUAUGACCAGCAUCCAUGUGCAUUUCAAAUCAUUAACUUUAUUUCAGAUCCUCUUAAAUUUAGCUCAGAUACUCUUUCAGUGAAUGCAUGCAUAAUCGAUCAGAAAGAAGAAGGCAAAAAAAGAAAAGAAAAGAAAAGAAAAAUAAAAGAAACAAGAAAAGUAAGGAAGAGAAAAAAGAGAUCUGAGAGGAAAGAGGAGGCCAGGGAUUCCGGAGAUUGAAGUACCUUGAGUACGAGAAAUCGCGAUAGUUGACUCGACGGAUGGGACUGGAGACGCCGGGGCGAGGCGUCUAGAAGCGCUGCGGCGUUGCCGGACUGGACGUCGGCAGCACGACGGGGGAGACUGCGGAGCUCCGGACUGGCAGAAAUUCGAAUCGAAGGGCAGCGUUGUUGGGCUUGUGGCGAAAAUAGCGGAUGGGGCAUAGGGGAAAAGAAAUACGAUUGGGAAUUGGGAUCUGGCAACAGCGAACUUGUGGAUGGGGAAGCGGGAGGGGCCAAAGGGAUUUAGGGUUUAAGUGUUUAUUCGGCCGUUGAUUAGAUUAAAUGUACAAAAAAAGGAAUCAAAUAUAUAUUAUAUAUAAUAUAUAUACUAUAUAUAUAUAUAGAUAUAUGAUAUAUAUAAAUAUAUAUUCGGGUUCGGGUUCGGGUUAGGGUUCGGUUCGGUCGGGUUUAUACAAAAUCCAUACCCGUACCCAUAUCCGUCGGGUUUUUAUUUUUUAUACCCAUACCCGAAUCCAUACCCAUUUAUCUCGGGUAAACCCGCCCCGUUCGGGUUCGGGUUCGGGUAAUUUUUCGGGUAUCCAUACCCAUUGACAUCCCUACUAUCGAUAGGAUUCUAGCUCAACUCUAUAUAUAUAUAUAGUCCAGCUACUAUCCUCAGGAUAGAGGCCUUUGUCUUUCUAAGUCGUUUUAGAUGAUAGGAAUUUCGAAUCGAUGAUCAGAAUCUUUAAAAUUAAUCUAAAGUAUUUAUAACGUCAAAAAACUAUAUUUCAUAAAUUUUAAAAUUCAUUAUCAAGUUUAUUUAAGAGUCGAAAAAUAAACAGUAAAAAACGAAUAACCUUGUGAAAAUAGAUGUUAGACUUUUCCAAUUCAUAAUCGGAGUUAUCAAAUGUUAUCUAAAUAGUAUAAAAAGUUUCUAUCAAAAAUUCAAAUUUAUGGAUUGUUCUACAUAGUAAAACAAACAAACGGCUUAUAUAGGUCGUAAAAAACUAUCGAUUUUGUGAUUCUUUGAUCAAUACGUAAAUAAUUUUUAAAAUUUAUGAAAUUUAGUUUCUCCAUACUUUAAAUACUCUAGAUCAACUUUAACAGUUCCGAUCAUCGAUUUGAAAUUCCUAUCAUUUAAAACGAUUUAAGGGGAUGAAGGCCUCCGUCCUUUUAAAAGGAUAGUAGCUGGAAUAUUUUUUCGCAAACACUUGCAAAACAAAAAAGAACUAAUAAAUUUUUUUUUAAAAAAAUAACACGAUCAUCGCCUUGCAUCCGAGAGUGUAAGCAUGAGUUGAGGAGAGACAAAGAAUCAAAACAAAACACCGCUGCACGUUUAAAACUGCAAGCAAGAAAGCGAUCAUCAUAGGAUCAGCUCCACUGCCAUACUUAUAUUGGUCAAUCCCCUAGAGUCUCUUCGACAGGAGUUUAAAAGAAAAAAAAAAAAAAAAAACGUCCAAGAGUAAAAAUCAAUACAUGAAAACAUAUAAAAUCAUAGCAGUGAGAAAAAAGAAAAAAAAAAAUGUGCACUCCAUAGAAAUAGAUGAAUGGCGGGCCUUCAGAGGAAAAAAAGUAAGAUACCAAAGAAUGUGCACUCUAUAGAAAUACAUAAAUAGUAGGCCUUCAGAGGAAAAAAAAAAACAAGAUUCCAAGGGGAAAAAAGGCAAGAUUUAUUGUUUAAUGACUGCAAUGAAUUUCUGCAAUAAUUAUAGCAUAUUAACAUAAAAGAGACAAACCACCUUGGAUCCCAAAAGAGAAGAUAUGAGAAUGAAACACACCUCAACCUAAUAAAGAAAGAAAACAACAUUAAUUAUCAAUCAAUAUCAACAUCUUUUUAGAAAUAUUAACAUCAAAGAGACAAACCUCUUAGGUCCCAAUAGAGAAUAUAAGAGAAUGAUACCCGAUUCAACCUACCAAAGAAAGAAAUCAACAUCAAUACUAAACAAAUACCAACGUCUCUGCAUUAAGCAUCAAUCAAACAUCAAAUUAUUAAUCUAAAAUAAAAUUGGAAGUAUGUACAAAUCUUCUUCCCUCUCCAGAACCAAAACUAUGGAGAGGAUUUUAGGAAAAUUAGGAGAGAUAUUUAUAGAGUUUGUACUGCACAAGAUCUCAGUAGAAAAAUAGGUAGAAAUUAUUGCUAUUAUAGGUGUUAAUGUAGCUAGGCAAGGCCAUCAUCACAGGCAACUGGAAACCGGCGGCCAAAGGGCUCCCUGCCUCAACCACCGAAGCUAGCAACAGACCCCAUCUCAACCGGAAAUCAGGAAAGCCGAAGCACAAAAGGGCAUAAAAUAAAAGGAAACAAAAAAAAACGACCGAUGGGGGUGGGGGGCAAAGUAGAAGAGGACACAUCACCUCUCGGCCAUUAAUUGGGAGGUCCUUGACAGAUUUUUCUCCGGCAGAGAUCGCACUGCACCGGCUGACGACAUAUCGGAGAGAGAUUAGAGAGAGAGAGAGAGAGGACACAUCACCUGACCAUAAUUAUUUAGGAGAUUCUCACCAGAUUUUUGACCGACGAAGAUCGCUGUGUAGAUACCAGUGAGGAGAUGAGAAAGAUCGAGGAAGAGAGGAGGAGAAAGGUAGGAGAGAGAACGCCGGAGGGAGAUCCUCGCCGGAUCCCCCACCGGUGAAGACCGCGCCGCGAAUCCCGGCGAGGAGAUCAGAGUGAGCACAGAUCCCGGCGGGGAGUUUAGAGAGAGGGGGAGAGAUAAAAGAGAGAGCGCCGGAGAGAAAGGAAACAGAGAGAGUAAUUGAGGAAACGAUACGUCAUUCUCUGAAGGCCCACAUUCGUUUAUUUGUAUGGAUUUAUAAGUUUAACAAUAUGGAACAAUUCAAAUCCAGUAAAAUUUUGAUAGAUUUUUUUUUUUCUAUUUAAAACAAAAGUCGUACAUAUAAUCUGAAAUUGAAUUAUUAUUUUUUAUGAGAUUUGUGUUUUCAGCAACUUAUUUUCAAACUAUUCAUUUUAAAAAUAAAUGAUGUCAAAAAAUUAUAAAGAUUAUUUUAUAAGUACAUCCAAUAGCAUAGAUCACGUAUAGGGGUGUAAUGUGGGCCGUGCCGGCCCGGCACGGUCCACAUUUUCUAGGCCGAAACUGGCUAGGGGCCAGCCCAGACAGGCCCGGUCCGAAUUUAAUUUCGGGCCGUGCCGUGCCAGGCCCAAAUUGUCUACUCUGUGGCCCAGCACGGCCUUUUGGCCCGGAAGGCAUGGGCCGUGUCGGGCCGAGCCGGGCCAUGCUGCGGGUCGUGCCAAUAAGGCCAUUCUUCGAGCCGGCGUAGUAAAAUAUUUAUUUUUAAAUUUUUUUUAAAAAAAUAGUAUGAAAUUUAAAAAUAUAAACAAUCAAUAUUUUUAUUUAAAUUAAUAUUUUGAUUAAAACAUUAAAAAAUUAUAAAAAUAAUUAUACUAAAGUAAAUAUUUAAUUUUUAAAAAAAUAAAUAAUUUUAUAUUAUUUUUUUUAAAAAAAAUGAGAUAGAUUUUGAUCUAAUGGACCAAAAUUCUUUGGUCUAUUGGACCAAAAGGCAGACCUUGGGAGGAGAGCUCUUGGGAAGGAGGGUUCCCUGGGUGCUCAGACCCCAGUUGCCUUGGCCCAUGGGGUCUGGCCCGGCUGGCGGGCUGUGCUAGCCCGGCUGGCAGACCGUGCCGGUCCGCCCGCUUCCCCUCGGCCUGACACGACUCAGGCUCAUUUCGGGCCGUGCCGUGUCGGGCUGUCGGGAUCCAAAGAAGAGGCCCAGCACAGUCCAGAGCCUCGGGCCGGGCCGGCAUGACACGGAUGCUACAGUAUCUGUGCCUUGCUGUAGCCAGGCCCGAGGCCGUGUCAGGUCGGGCGGCCCACGUGCCACCCGGCCCGUUUUACACUCCUAAUAACGUCUAACGGAAUCAAUCAUCAAUUUGAAUAUUUUAUCAUCGAAAUUAAUUUGAUUGUAUGAAUCAAUCAGCAUACGAACACGUACUGUUUAAUAAACAGAUUAAGCGGGUCAAAUCAUUUCUAACUAAAAUCCGUUUAAACUGACUCCGAAUCCGUCCACUUACGUGGCCAGUCGUGUCCGAUCGAAUCCGGGUUGGGUCGGGUCGGGUCGGGUGGAGAAUUGCCAACCCUGUUUAAAUCCGAAGGCUUUAAUAAUCGUGCCGAUCCCACGAGGCCACUUCACUAUUUCCCCUCGCCAUGUUAUCCCGGGUCAAACCCGGUACCAGCACCAUAACCCGCUUCGGCAAAUUUACACAUAAUCCCCUCAAAAAACCUUUCUUCUCCCGCGAAGCCCUCGUCCUCCUCCUCCUCAGAUCGUCCCCGACCCUGACCCUGCCCCUGCUACGCCAACUCCACGCGCUCCUCCUCGUCCAUGGCAGCUCACACGUGCCGCACUCCCAGCUGCUCCGCGCCUACGUCGGCAAUGGCGCCGUCCGAGACGCCCUUCACGUGUUCGACCAUAUGCCCCGAAGAAGCACCUUCGCUUACAACUCCAUCAUCAAGGGCUUUGUUGACCUGGGUCGCUCUUCCGAUGCUUUGUGUUUCUAUAAUGAUAUGAUCAGAGAAGGAUUUAAAGCCGAUAAUUUUACGUACCCGCUUGUUCUUAAAGCGUGCACGGGGGUAUCGGACAUCGAUCGGGGUAGGGAGAUUCAUAAAUGCGUCGAAUUUGAAGGGGUUUUUAGUAGUAAUGUGUUUGUGCGGUGCGCGCUUGUCGACAUGUACGCGAAAUGUGGGAGCUUGGUCGCAGCCCGGGAGGUGUUCAAUGAAAUGCCCGUGAGAGAUUUGGCUACAUGGGGGGCGAUGAUCUGCGGAACCAUGCAAGGUGGGGAUUGGUCUGAGGGCUUAGUUUUGUUCAGGAGGAUGAGAUCCGAAGGGUUUGGGAUCGAUUCCGCGAUCUUGGCGACCGUUAUUCCAGCUUGCGGUAGGUUAGGAGCACCGGGAUUAGGAAUGGCAUUGCAUGGAUUGGUCGUUAAAUUCGGAGUGAUCGGUGAUCUCUGCGUUGCGAAUGCUCUGAUCGAUAUGUAUUGUAAAUGCGGCGACACCCAGAUAGCGGACCGCUUGUUCCGGACUAUGGAGUUCAAGGAUGUUAUCUCUUGGAGUAGCUUAAUUGCCGGAUAUUUACAAAAUAAUGAGUUUGCUAAGAGUUUGGGCCUUUUUGUCGAGAAGAUGGAAUCAGGUUUAACACCGAAUUCCGUGGUGAUCGCAAGCAUCAUGCCUAGUGUUUCCGAGCUGAAGUUGUUCAAACUCGGGAAAGAGAUUCACGGCUAUGCCGUUAGACGAGGACACGAGCGCGAUAGAUUUGUUGCGAGUGCAGUGAUUGGUUUCUACUGCAAAAAUGGUUUAAUGCGAGAAGCGGAAUCCAUUUUCCGAACCGUGUCGGAUGGAGAUAUCGCAAUAGGGAACUCGAUGAUUACGGGAUACGCUCUUCAGGGUGAUCUUGAUUCUGCAACAACCACGCUGCGAAGAAUACAAGAAAUGGGAUUUAGACCCGAUUCUGUAACGAUCGUCUCUGUCCUUCCCCUCUGCAAUCGCUUCACAAUGAUCGACCAAGGCAAGGAGCUGCACGCUUAUGCAACUAGAGCAGAAUUCGGAUCGGUAGUUUCCGUGAAUAAUUCGCUGAUGGAUAUGUACUGCAAAUGUGGGUUUGUUGAAUUCGCGAAGAAGAUAUUUGAUACCAUGACCGAGAGGAAUACAGUGACUUACAACAUCGUAAUCACUGCACUCGGAAUGCACGGUCGAGGAGAAGAGGGGAUUGAGUUCUUCGAUCAUAUGAAGGAACAAAGCAUCGAACCAGAUAAAGUGACUUUUAUAGCUUUACUAUCGGCUUGUAGCCAUGCUAGGCUCCUCGAAAAGGGCUUAUCGUUUUACAAUUUUAUGAUAAAAGAGUAUGGUAUUUGCCCAGAUAAAGAACACUACUCAUGCAUUGUGGAUCUUUAUAGCAGGGCGGGGAGAGUUGACGAUGCGUGGGAUUUUAUUGAGAAAAUGUUAAUCGAACCGGACGUAGAUGUUUUAGGUAGCCUCUUAGGAGCCUGUAGAGUGCAUAAGAGAGUCGACAUUGCGGAGCUUGUAGGCAAACAAAUUUACGAAAGAGGACAUGAAGAUCCUGGUUAUUAUAUUCUGCUAUCGAAUAUAUAUGCGGAUGCUGGGAGAUGGGCCGAUGUGAUGAGGGUGAGAGAAACGAUACUAGAGAAGGGUUUGAAGAAGAAGAAGGCCGGGAAUAGCUGGGUUUAGGCCAGAUGUCGCACCCAUUUCCUCUUGUUAGAAAGGCUGUUUGGAGAAUUCGGUUAAAAACAUGUUGACGGUACUUCAAACACUCUACUCAACUAGUACUUCUGCAGAAGCAAAUCCGGUUCGACUAGAGUAGCAAGUCCUGUAAAAUGAGAUGAGUUCAAUUUCUUCCACGAGUUAAUUGGAGAGGGCGAAUGAAACCGAGGCAGCAAUGACUACGUACAUAGAUGAAGUUAUAUCAGCUGAAUUGUUGGUCAUCUUGGAUUGAACGGAUUCGAUCGUUGCUUACAAUGUUUCUUGAGGGGAUACAAAAAGUGGCAUAGCUAAAUCUAAGGUGAAAAGCUAAAAAUAACACCAUGAGGAGACACUUAAACAGUUUGAUGCUCAAAUUUUAGGGUCUAUUUUGAGAUUUUAAGACCUAUUUUGACACUUAAUAGCUAUCGCUUGUAACAGCAUGCAUGUGGAAACUGAAUAAUAAGUUUUCCGGAGAGCAGGGCGCCAUGCAACUAUGCAUCCGAUUUUCAGGAACCAAGAAGCAGUCUCACUGAAGUACCGGGGUAAGGGGAAAAAAAAGAAAAUUUUCUAAUCUAGAAUCCAAAUUCUACCUCAUUUAUCUAUGAUCUUCUUUUCCCUUUUAAAGUUAUUAUUCAAGAUUUUUUGGUUGCUUAUGGGUGCAAAGCUUCGAGAAUAACAAGGAUUAGAUACAUUAUUCCCAAUUAUAAUUACCAAUUAAAAGAUGAGCUAUCUCUUUCUACUGUGGUAUGCUUUUGUUGUCCUUUUGCUUUGAAUGAGAAAGCCAAUAAAUAGUGCUAUGAGCUUUCACUUCAUUGUAGAUAAAGAUAUGUGGUGCUUUAUGAAAAGGAUGGAAAAAAAAUGUAGUGCCACUAGUUCCACUUACUCUCUCAUACAUGUAUGUUCAUAAUUCUGGGCAUAAAGAAUGAUAUUGAAUUUCGCUAAUUUUGCCUUUGUGAAUCCUUAUAAUUGCUAGAUUUGUUCAAAACCUUGUGUAAGUUUUUAUGCGACUAAUUGCUUCAUUACUAUUAUACACAUGUUAGAACCCACAUCAUAUAAAAUACCCCAUCCCCCUCAAAACACCACUCCAUGUCUAAAGCAGAUUAAUAUAUCCAACACUCUCAAUCUCUCCAUUUUCUUUCUUCAAGUGAGUAAAAAUGGAUGCUUAUGUUGUUGGGUUGAUAUUGGAGACUCUUUUGGUGAUAGUUAUCUCGAAGAUUUGGAGUGUGUUGUUGUACGUGAUGUGGAGGCCAUACAUAAUAACUAAAAAGUUUAGGAAUUGAGGAGAUCAAACGAAUGAAGAAAGGAUGCAUAAGGGGUUGCGGUGGACAUCAACUAACAUGAUUUAACUACAAGUAUUUUGCCCUACUACGCCAAAUGGAUAUCGGAACAUGGUAUGCUAUUCUCUUUUUGAUCCUCUUUCUAUACUAUAUAUGGCAACACAUCAGCAGCCUAUAAUGCUAGCAUUCUAGGGAACCUGUAACACUACUUUUUUUGUAUAAACGCACAGCCUGAAUUCGAAUCCAGAACCUCUUAUUUUAUGGUCAGUACUUUAUCUACAUAUGCUCGUACGCAUUUAUUAUAAGAAAUUUUGUUUCUCUUUGUAGGUGGAACAUUCAACAUUAGGCAGCACCAACCCUGACAUGGUCAAGGAAGUGCUCUCCAACAAAUGUGGUUACUACACCAAGAAUGAUCCGAAUCCACAUUUACAAGCUCUCCUAGGGAAGGGUUUGAUCCUCAUAAAUGGACAAGAUUGGGCUCAUCAUCGCACUGCAUUCACCAUCGACAAGCUCAUGGUCAACUCCCAGUUCCUUCUCUUUUCUUUUAAUUCCAUAGCUAACUCUUCUUGUAAGAGGAAAAGGCUUUCGGCGCAUCUGAACUUCAACGCAAUUCAAGAUUACCACCAUUUGAAUUUUGAAAAUGGUAGAAGACCGCCCAAACUAUAUGAUUUCCUCGUAAAGAUCAGCUAGUGCUCAAUCUCAAUUGCAAUAAAGUUCAAGUGAGUUUGAGACUCUUGAAUUUGUUUACUAGAUAACUAUUCUUAUUAAGAAAAGUAGCUCAGAUCCAUCUGAACUUUAACACUGUGAUUCGGGUGGUUUUUUUGGUCCUUUCUAAAAGUUCGGGUGAUGAUCUCAGAUGGCACUAAGUUUUGUUUCUUAUUACUACCAAAAAAAAAAAAAAAAUCAACCAAACUCUACAGGAAAGUUAAGGAUAUGAUGAAUAUUAUCAACUAACAUUUAGUGUUUUUGCAUGAUAGAUGAUGACGAAGACGAUGGCUCAAAUAGCUCAAUCUAUGAUGGAGAAGUGAGAAGCACAGAUGCUCUGAGAUGAGAACAAGCAAGCAGAAAUAGAUCUAAGCGUGCAAUUUCAGGAGUUGACAGCAGAUGUGAUCUCCCACGCUGCUUUUGGAAGCAGCUAUAGAGAAGGAAAAGAAGUCUUAUCUGGCGCAAGAAGCGCUUCAGAUUCUUGCUGUGGCUAAUAUGCUUGAAGUCCAAGUACCAGGAUUCAAGUUAUAUAUAUCUCUCCCUUCUUUCCUUUUUCGAAAGCCUUCGAAUUCCGUAAACUAGAUAUAACAUGUGGGAUAAAAAUACUUGAAAGUCUUAAGUUACCAAUAACAAUAUGCUAUCUGUGUAAUGAUGAGAUUUUUGCUAUUGUAGCUAUCUUCCUACUCCAAGAAUUUGCAGAAGUGGGAACUAGAAAGGAAAGUGAGGAAUAUGCUCAUGCAAAUAAUUCAAGCUCGAUUCGAAUCGAAGGAGUGCGGCUGCUGAAAUGAUCUGCUCAGCUUGAUGCUAGAGGCUUGCGCAUCGGGCGACGGCUUCGAGAGAAAAGAGAACUGUGGUAUGAACAUGGAUGAGAUCAUCGACGAGUGCAAGACGUUCUUCUUCCGGGGGGCACAAGACGACGUCACAUCUUCUGACUUGGACUGCGUUCCUGCUGUCCACAAACCAAGAAUGGCAGGAGAAGCUCCGGGAGGAGGUGGGGAGAGAGUGUGGAGAGGAAGUUCAUGAUGCAGAUAUGCUUAGCAAGUUGAAAUUGGUAUGCUCACAGGUUUUUCCUUCUUUUGUUUUUCCCUUUUAUCAUAAUAUUUCUAGCAAUUGUAAUAAAUUACCAUUAUGCCAUUAUGCAAAUUACUUGUAGCUGAUAAUGGUUCUCUGAACUUUGACAAAUUUUGACACCCUGAACAUUAAAAAAAACUUCAAUAUUUGCUGUAAAAUAACCUUGUAAAUCCCUUUUUGGAUUAAACUAUCAUCGGUCAGGCAAUAGUUUACAGAAGGGAUAAAAUGGUGUAGGGUUUAGGGUUUAGGCUAAGAACUUAAAUGAGUACAACUCAGCUACUAUAUAUAUAUAUAUAUAUAUAUAUAGAGAGAGAGAGAGAGAGAGAGAGUUGAGCUCCUAUGCCUUUAAAAGCACACCAGCAGUUUUGCUUGUGAUUUUUUAGCCAUCAGAUUACCUCAAUAUAUGUGCAACACUAUUAAUUUUAAUUUUAAAGUUUCAAAUUUCAAAUUUCAAAUUUCAAAUUCCAAAUUUCAAAUUUCAAAUUUAAAACAUAAAAUCUAAUUUACUUUUUAAAUUUUAAAUUUUAAAUUUUAAUUUUAUAUUUUGAAUUUUUAUUUUUAAUUUUUAAAAUUUUAUUUUUAAAUUUUGAAUUUUGAAUUUUGAAUUUUGAGUUUUGAAUUUUGAAUUUUAAAAUUUUAAAAAUUUAAUUGUUAUAAAUACUGCGGAAUUGUAUGAUAUGUAUCCAAACUGCUUAAAAAUGAAGCUGUGGAAUUUUUUUGUAGUUACAGGAUUCCGUAUUUCAUUUAGACCAAAACCAUAGAAUAAAAAUUCCAUGGAGUUUUUUAACUAUGCAUCCAAACAGGGCCUAAGACUGUAUGGUCCCUGUGCCCCACAUACAAAGAAAAGCAGGCUAAGGGCAUGGAACUGGGAGGCAUAAAAAUCCCCAAAGACACCAUGCUCGCGAUACCGAUCAUGAUGAUCCACCGGGACAAGGAGCUUUGGGGCCCCGACGCCAACGAGUUCGAUCCGUCGAGGUUCGUGAACAGCAUCGCGAAGGCCGCGAAGCAUCCGAGCGCGCUCCUGCCGUUCUCGAUCGGGCCGAGGUCGUGCAUCGGUAAGAACUUCGCAAUGCUGGAGGCGAAGACUGUGCUCGCCGUGCUGCUGCAGAGGUUCUCAUUCUCCAUCUCUCCGAAAUACGUGCAUGCGCCGAACAACUUGCUAACUCUGCAACCAAAAUAUGGGCUUCCUGUAAUCUUAAAACCCCUUAUGUCUAAGACCUAUAUAUAUAUAUAUAUAUAUAUAUAUAUAUAUAUAUAUAUAUAUAUAUAUAUAUAUAUAUAUAUAUAUAUAUAUAUAUAUAUAUAUAUAUAUAUAUAUAUAUAUAUAUAUAUAUAUGUAUAUAUAUAUGAAUGUUAGGUGUAAUAGCUUGUUAUAUGUUUGCUAUGAGUGGUUUUUGGAUUUGUUGCCUUCCUAGCUUGAAGGCCCAACUAUAUGUUUGAGACCGUUGUGUUGAGAUUUUAUGUACAUGUAGAUGUCACUAUUUUGCAUAUAUUUCUUCUGGUAUAUAUUUAGUAGUUAGUAGGUGUGACCUUGUUCAUAUUAGAAUCCGCCUCAUAAGAACUACUUUUAGCUGCAAAAGCUUUUGCAAACAACUCUACUUAAACAGCACAUACUUAAAGGCGAUUCUCCUCUACAAGUGUUAGGGGAUCGGAGAAUGCUCUAUCAUUAACAAUGUGCUUAAAAAAUAAAUGGUAAUCCAAAACAUAGAAGAUGCUGCAGAUAUGUUAUGCUCAGAAGUCAAUCAUCUUAAAAUAUGUCUAAAUUAGGUCAAGAAGAUUGCAAUCGAUUUUGGUUCCACUUUAAAAACAAGCCAGUUUCGAACCUAUCGCGCACAUCGAAAUAGACCUUCAUAUCAGAAGAAGAGCGAACAAUUUGAAUCUUCUGCUUCUAGCUUUCUCAGAAAGAGAGAUGAUCUUCAUAAAAAUGUAGAAACGGCUAUUGCUCGUCAUUCGUCUUGCGAAAGCCCGACCAAACUUGUCGAUCGGUGAAAAACUGCCCUUCACUUCACGAUUUCACUUCAGUACGGCAGCGAUUUUUACCAGUAAUCUCCGCACGAACAUGACCCACUUGCGAAACGAUGGAACCGAUUCGUAUCUCUAAGAACAAUCUCCCGACCAAGGGACCCCGAAACGAUCUUCAUCACCGCAUGGCAGUCUCCGCAGGUCCUCAGGUUCUUCUUGAUACAGAUCGGCGCGUUUUUGGGCAAGCUCAUCACUCCAAACGUGAGCGCGAGUCUCUCGCUGUGGUACCACAAGUUCUUCUCCUUGUACUCCCCCACGUCAUUCACCGCAUACCGCGUAUCCGCUACGUAUCCCCUCUCUUUCACCAGCUUCUCGAUCUUGCUCAACGUGUCGUAAAUCUCUUCGCUCCUCUGAUGCGAUUGGUCGUGCACGGUGAACACGUAAGUAGCGUCUUUAACGUCGAUCCAACUGCAUCCGAUCUCCUUUUUCACACCGUUCGAGCCCAUCAAUCUCCUCACCUCCUUCGCCUCCUCCAACAUCCCUUUCGACGCGUACAUGUUAGAGAGCAACACAUAGUUCCCAGGAUUAUGAGGCUCCAUCACGAACAACUUGUGCGCGACCUCUCUACCUAGUUCUAAGUCCCCGCGAUUUCUACAAGCGCCGAGCAAAGCUCCCCACACCGACACGUCCGGCUCGAUCGGCAUUGUCUCUACGAACCGCUUGGCCUCAUCCAAACGGCCCGCUCGGCCGAGCAUAUCGACCACACAAGCGUAGUGCUCGCUACCCGGCUCCAUGUUAUAAGUCCGAGACAUGGAAUCAAAGUGCAUGAGACCCUGCUCUACGAGCCCGUUGUGGCUGCACGCGGAGAGAACACAUACGAAGGUAAUAUAAUCCGGUUCGAUUCCCUUCUCUAACAUUUCAUCGAAUAGUUGUAGAACACGGUCGCCGUGCCCGUGUUGUUGAAACGCGGCGAUCAUCGAAGUCCACGACACCACAUUGAGCUGAUCCUUGGUCUCCUCAAACACUCGGUACGCAUCGUCUAACCUGCCGCACUUUGCGUACGUAGUAAUUAGUGAGCUCCCGACGCAGCGGUUUUCGCUAAAGCCCGAUUUUACGAUCACGGCAAGAAGCAUCGCGCCCUGCGCCCACACCGCGAGCCCCGCCGCAGCGUGGAGCGCGGUCGAGAACGAGGCCUCGUCCGGGAGGACACGCUCGCGGAGUAUGGAUCGGAAGCAGCCCACAGCUUCUUCGAACCGAUCCUUCCGUGCCCAGCCCAUGAUCAGGAUGUUCCAGGCAACCACGUCUCUGUCGCGCAUUUCGUCGAACACCUGCGCGGCGUCGUCGGAGCGCCCGCAUUUGCCGUACAUGUCGAGGAGCGCGUUCGCGACGCAGGCCGAGGAGGGCGCGAGCCCGAGCUUGGCCGCGCACCCGUGGACGCGGCGGCCGAGGCAGAGCGCGCCGGCGCCGGCGCACGCGGCGAGGGAGCUCGAGAGGCUCACCUCGUCGGGGGCGAAGGAGCCCUCACGGGCCAACUCCAUGAAGGUCCUUAUAGCGUCGGCGUAGAGGCUGUUCCGCACGUAGCCCACGAUGAGCGCGUUCCAGGAGACGAGGCUCCUCUCGGGCAUUUCAUCGAACACCUUCCGCGCGGCGUCCGCGUCGCCGUGCUUGGCGUAGGCGUCGACCAGCGCGCGGGCGCGGGCUCGGGCGCAGGCGCGGAGCGCGGCGGAGAGGGCGUGGGGAUUGGGGCGGAGGCCGCGGGCGCGGAGCUCGGCGAAGAGGGCGAGGGCUUGGGCGGGGUCGGCGUGGUGGGCGAUGAGGCAGGUGAAGGAGACGACGUUGGGGACGCUCCGCGGUGAGCCGAGGAGGGCGCGCACGGCGUGGUCGCCAUGGCCGCGCGCGGCGUAGAGGUGGAGGAGUUGGGUGAGGAGGACGGGGUGGGCGACGAGGUUGGAGACGACGAGUUGGGCGUGGAUUUGAGCCCCGUGGCUCCGGUUCGGGUUCGGAUUUAAAUUCGGGUCCGAAUCCGCAUCCGGGUUUGGAUUCGGGUUCCGGAUUAAGGUGGUAACAAGGGUGGUUAAAUAGUUAAAAGUGUAAGGGGAUUUUCGCGAAAUGUAUCUCCCUGGUUGUGGGGUUCUUUGGGGACUCAUUUGUGCCCGUUUGUGUGUGAUUUGCGAAUUGCGAUAGAUUUGGAGCAUUUGAAAGUGUGAGAGCUUUUACAUAUAUAACCCUGCACAAUUAUUUAUUUACAAAUACAUUGUUGUGAUGUUUAAAUUUUGGUACAUGCAUACCUUUUAUAACUUUUUGGAUUAAUUAAUCCUUUAUUAAGGCUUAAUUAUACUAUACUAAACUAUAUUUUAAGAUCUUUUUCAUUCUUUACACAAUAUUAUUAUUAUUAUUUAAAGUACUGGUUGAAAAUAACAGAGUAUAUAUUUAGCUCAUUUUGAUAAAUAAAAGGACAAAAGAAAAAGAACAUUUAGAAAUAGCAAAAAAAAUAGUUAAAACCUCUGCAUAAAAUUUAACUUUCAACUAUAAAUCUAUUUUGAAGGCUUUUUUUUUUUCCUACAAUCUAACUAGCGCCUUUCAAUUAAUAGAGUUGUUAAUUUCGGUCUAAAAGAGUAAUUAAAUUUAUUGGCACUAGUGUAGCAUUGGCGAGAAAAUAAUAGUUUAGUAAUAUCAUUAAGAAAAAUAGAAGAUAAAGCAUGAUAGCAAAUAAAAAUAAAUCCAAAUUAAUAUAGAAAUUGAUGAAAUAAUAAUAAUAAUAUUAAAAAUCUAGCGUGACUCGAACUCAGAAUCUCUUGCUCUGAUACUGUAUUAAAUAAUAUAAAGCAACCGUUAUUCUCUANAGAAAAAUAGAAGAUAAAGCAUGAUAGCAAAUAAAAAUAAAUCCAAAUUAAUAUAGAAAUUGAUGAAAUAAUAAUAAUAACAAUUUGAUGAUGUGUUUUGAAAAAAAAAAAGAAAAGAAAGGUACAGCGUAGCAAACGAAAAUAAAAAAAAAAGUUACGAGCUUAAUCACUCUAUUUUUAAACAAGUAUGCGAUCGAAACGGCCAUGAUCUCUUAAUCGACAAUCUGUGAUACCAAUCAACUGCACUAAAUAGUGGUGGCUUGUGACAAGUAUUGGUUCUUAAAUGCCGAGAGAUAUCAAGAUUUAAUGAACUUUUCAUCUAUAAAAAAGGAUUAGUAUAGAGAUAUAAUUUGUAAAAUAUUUCUACCUAUCUUUCAGGUCUUAAGGAUAUGUAGAGCUUUUGAUUUGGUUUGAUUACAUUUUAUAUUUUAUUUUAUAUGUUAUAAUCUUUUACCAACAUCUACUAGCACUAAUAUGUUUUUUAGAGAAAGAGAAAAAUUACAAGUUAUCCACUUCGUUUAUCUUUUAAAAAAUGAACCCAGCUAAAAAUGUGAAGUAAUUAAAUUUCAAAUUUAGGACGGUAAGAUAGCUGGUGCUAUCCAUUAAAAAAUAUAAAUUAAACUAGAAAUGAAAAGCAAUGAGGCUCCGAAUUUGGGACUAUAUAUAGAAACCUUAGCGCUAAUCAUUACUUUUAAAAGCUUAAUUUAUUAGACAAAUUAAACUAAUUUGCUUAAAAAAUACAAAUAUAGCACCAUCGGAUCUCGAUUGUAACUCUGCCCAACCUGGCCUCCUAUUAUGAGGCAGAAGUGCAGGUCUCUUUAAGCCAAUAAUCUCUUCUCCUCUCCCUCCCUAAUUAUCACAGUGCAUGUACAAAUUUAUAGUACGUGGGAAUCGACCCCCUCCCCCCCAAACUACUAUAGUACCUACACAAAUUUGUAGCAUGUAGAAAUCGAACCCGUAAAAUUUGGCUUUGAUACUACUUAUAGAAUCACUGGCGCUAAUCGUUAAUUACAAAGGCUUGAACUAUUAGAAAAAUACAAGCAAUUCACUUAAGGGUUGCUUGGUUAGAUUUAAUAAGAAAUGCAAUAUAGUUGGAGAUGUAUGCAGUUGAAAAUGCAUCGUACAUUUUGUUUGAUUGGAUGUUAUAGAAAAAGCUGCAAUUAUAAAUAAUUUUUUUGGCUGCAUGCAAUGAGAAGUGCAUUUUUAAAAUUUCAUCACUUUAGAUAUAUAGUGGUGAGAUUACCUCCAAUAGAGAAUAGAGACAGUCGAUGACAAAUUGUUAAUGUAGAAGAAAAGUAAAAGUAGCGUGAUUGAUAAUGCAACAAUAAUUAAAAUGCUAUAUCACUUUUAUAUCAACGAUUCGUCAAUAUUUAAUCAACUAAAUUGAAUUGUAAAACUUAAUUAUAAUAAUUUGAAAAGUUUGAAUCUGAAAUUGUAAAAAAUUAAAAUUUAUGGACUAAACGUGCAAUUUACUCUCUAUAUUAAGACUAAAUUAUAGAAAACCCUCCUAUAAAUGAAAAUAUAUACUUUUUCACUUUCCUCCCUAACCUUCAAAAGCUAUAUUUUACCUCCUUAAUAUUUUAACCCCCGUUAGGGUUCCAUCACUUUCUUUCUAUUUCUUAUAAUUUAUACCAAAAAUACCAUUCAAACUGAGAGAAAUAUAUUAAAAAAUUAUUUUUUUCUUAUAAAAGAAGUAAGGAUAAUUUGAUCAUUUUGCCCUCUCUAUUAACGCAGUAUCCGGCCCCCUGAAAAUAUUUCGAAAAUUUUAAAAAGGCAGAAUGUAGAUUUUUUGAAAGUUAGAUUAAAAUAUAUAUAUAUAUAUAUAUAUAUAUACUAGUAGAGUGCACGUGCAAUGCACGUCAUAUAUUUAAAAAAAUAAUUUUUUUUUCAAAAUAAUUAAGAUGGGAGAUGAUUGAUAUGUAAUAUAUAAUUUUUAAAUAAAUUAUUAGUGAAUAUUUAUAAUUUAAUAAUUUUAUUAUAUUUGCAUAAGAUAGUAAAAAAAAUAUUGUCCAAUUGAUCAUAUAGAUAAAUUAAAUUUUAGAUCUCUAUAUCUAGCAACAAAAAAUUUUCUUUUAUACUAUUUAUAAAAGAGCUACUUUUUUUGGCAAGACAUUUAUAUCCAAAAUCACUUUAAUUGUAUAAAUCAUACCAAAAAUAAUUUAAGUCAUGCAAACCUUUUAUACAAAAAAUAAUUUAGGUCAUACAAUUCAUUCAGUUUCAUUUUGCAUUCAAAAGCUUUAAUACUUAAACCCUUUAAUGAAUACAAAUCAUAUUAUUUAUUAUGAUAAAAAAAUAUCUGAAAGUUCUCAAUCUUUGAGCCAUUUAUGAAUCAGCCCCUUAAUUUUUUUUUGCUAAUAAAUUAUAGAUGAAAUAUUUAACAAUUUACAUACUAAAAUAAUUCAAACAAAAUUUAGAAUCAAAUAAUAUCCAAAACAUUAUUGAUUAUAAAAUCUCCAUGAAAUAUUCUUUUUCUACAUAUUAUUUAGUUUCCAUGCAAACCUUCCACAUUAGAUAUCUGUUUAAUUGAUUAAAAAUUAUAUAAUUUAUUUAAAUAAAAAUGUACGAACUCUCCUCAUCUUUUGUAAUUUAUCUCCUAAUUUUUUUUUAUUAACUUACACAUAACUACUAAUUUAGCUAAAUAAACUAAAAUUUUAAUCAAUUUUUUAUAAAUUGUAUAGAUAAUAGAGUGUAAAUCUUUUCGAAUUCAUAUGAUUAUUGCAUUUUUCGAAUUUUAAAAUGCAAAUCUUUUCAAAUCUACAUAAUUCUUUUGUUGUUUCAAUUUUUAAUUUUAUUUUACAAAUCGAGUAUACAUGAUCAUUUUCUCAAUAUGUGCAUUUUAAAUCAUAAAUAAAUUUUUUCUGAAUCUAUACAUUUUUUUAAAAUCUUUUUCUUCGUGUAUAGUAAUAUAUUUUGAUCAUAUUAGUUUUUUAUGACCUAUUUAAAAUUUAAAGGUUGUUAAUAUUUUAUUUUUUAAAAUUUUAAAAUAAUAUUAUAUUAUUUUUCAAUAAAUAAAUUAUGUAAUGGCUAUAUAUUUUCAUUUAUUAUAAUUUUGAAUUACUAUAUUAUUUUGAGUUUUUUUUCUAAUAAUAUUUUAAAAAAAUUAUUUGUAAAAAAAAUUAUUAGUGUUUGGUUUUUAAGUUUUCGUGGGUCUUAAUCUACGUCUAUUAAAGGUUUGAAAAAAUUAGUUUUUUUUUAAAAAAAUUAAAAGUUAUACGUUUAGUUUUUCAAAAAUUUUAAACAAUAUAUAUUAUAUUUUUAAUAUUUUAUGCAACGUAUAUUUCAUGUACACUUAGCUAGUAAAUCUAAAUUAGAAAUUAAACUAAAGAAUUAGUUAUAACUUGAGAAUAUCGGGUAGCACAAAAAACCUUUCCAAUUGUCGGAAAAAUGAUUGUUUCGGUGAGUAGGAUGACGAUGAAAUGCUGGCAAAAGUUACAAUGAACAUGUGCUAGUGAACGCGACAAUGAUCAGUGAAAGUGAUGAUGAUGAUGUUUUGCCGCCGGUGAGGACAACAGCGAUGUGUUGGAAGGACGAUGACUUACGCAAUUAAUAUGAAAGAUAAAAAUAUCAUGACAAUGCAAAUCUAUUAGCAUUUAAAAAUCUUAAAAAGUAAAACAAAGUGUACAAAAGACGAAUUAAGUAGAAAAUUAUAUUAUGACACAUUAAAAUGAAUUAGGUGGAGCCAAAAUAUCUUUCCAAUUGUAGCGAUGGCGAUCGUGGACGAUGAUAAGAAACAAAUAAAAUAUUACUAAAAUAAUAUAUUUGAGAAAACGUAAAGUAAAAAUAAAAAAGGUUAUGAUUUAUAUUUAUGAAACAUAUAGAUGGAGAUGAGAAAGUAUUAGAAAAAAGAUAUGAUAACUAUUAUGAUGAGAUAAAAUUGGAAAAGUGAGGAAAAUUUUAUAUGUGAGGGUAUUAAGAUUUUAUCUAUAUUAUGCGUAGAUGGCGGGCGGGUAUACACGAUAGAAAUAUUAAAUAUUUUACUAUAUUUUUCGAUUUCUAAUAAAUUGAAAAUUUGAAUAUACAUAUUUUAAAGUAAAAAUAUUAAAAUGUUAAUAAUAUUUAAUUUUAAAAAUUAAAAUUUAAUUCGAUCCACUUUAAGAUUUAAAUUUUAAAAUUUUUAAAAUUUUUUAAAAAUUUUAGUAAAAAAAGAUAGAAACAUUUUUCAGAAAGAAUUUUAUGUUUAAUUCAAAACUCAAAUUUUAAUUUUGAUCCACUUUCAGAUUUAAAUUCAAAUUCAGAUAUUAUAUGUUUCUGACAAAUUCAAAAUUUAAUGGAUUAUUUGAGAUGAAUGGUUCAAAAUUUCUGGACAUGAAAAAAUUAAUUAAAAAGAUAAAGACAUUUUCAUAAUAAAAUUUAUGUUUAAUUUAAAAUUUAAAAUUUAAUUUUGAUCCAUUUUAAUAUUUAAAUUCAAAUGCGAGGAUAUGUAUAAUUCAAAAUUAUGAUAGGUUGAGAGAAUUUUUAAGAAUGAGAAAAGAUUAAAAUUUUGAUAAGAUAUUUGAGAAACAUGUAGAUAUUCUGUGGAUUAAUGAGAUAUUUGAGAAAUUCACAAAUAUUAUGUUGAGAAAAAUUGGCGGAUAUUAUGUAUGAGAAGGAAAAUAUUUAAGAAACGCGUAGAUAAUGUAAGGACUGAGAUUUUUACAGUGCAAUUAAACUCUCUGUUGAUGAUGUUUAUGUGUGUAAAUUAAUUACAUAAGCACUCGUCAAGUUUCAGGAGAAACUGAGCUAAAACGGAGAAGUUACGCGAUUAUUAGUUUUCACUUAAGUGAAUAGUAACUCCGGUUUUUCGGUGAAGCCACGGAGUAGAGCUGGCUUUCGGCGCGUAUCGGACUCCGUUCAUAGCGAUCCAAUAGCUCGUUUUGAAUGGUUCAGCUAUUCUGGAACCAAUGGCACUGACGGAUUUUAGAUCUGAUGCACGAUUUUCGAGAAAAUCUGAAAAUACAUGUUUCUUAUGUAAUUGUGCACCUUUUUGGCCUUUUGGAGAGAGAUUGGAUUUCGUCGUGAAUCGGAGAUCAAAUCUGACGAAACGAAAUGCUAGAUUCGAUGCCUCGACGUGCUGAACGCGUUGGCCUGAUCCGAUCAGAAAUCCGAUGGACGGAUCUUUGGGAAUUGCAAUAAGUUCGCUAAGGGGUCGAGAGUGGAAAAUCGGGAAAUUCGCAAAAGUCGUAAUAUUUUAUGUACCGAAUCACGCGAGAUCGAUUGUGGAGGUGCAAAAGCGCGAGAGUUACCCAUUGUGAGGGACUAGGGUUGAAAUUUGUAAUUCAGGUGGACUUUUGUGCAAUUUGCACAUUGCAUACAAUGUGCAUCUAGGGUUCUUUUGCAAGGAACCCUAGAUCUAGCCGACCUAGUUCCCCAACCGUGCCCUAGAUAGCUCCAGUAGGUCCCUGCCCUACCUACGCUCGUGCCCAGACCUCCGGCGAGCAACUCCGGCCGCCGGAAAACUCAUGGUCAUCUUCCUUUCCACCCUCUCGGCCUGAGUACACAGGGAAACGCGCGAAGCCCGAGGAUCCUUCACCCUGUGGCAGAGAGUUACCUCCGGCNAUAUAUAUAUAUAUAUAUAUAUAUAUAUAUAUAUAUAUUUAUAAAAAAUUUUCUGUAAUUGAAUCUUAUAUUAAUUGUAUAAAUAUUUUAUCCUCGAGAGUCCAACUACUAUAUUCUUAUGAGUACGAUCGCCCUCGUACUCAUAAGCCGUUUUUGAUGAUAGAGCUUUCGAAUUGACAAUCCAUACCGUUAAAUAUUAUCUAGAGCAUUUAAAAUUUUUAAAAAUCAAAUUUCAUAAUUUUUCGACAUCAUUUACCUUACGAUCAAAAUGUCACAAAAUUGACAAUUUUUAACGGCCGGUAUGAGAUAUUUAUUAGUUUAACGGUGUAAAAGAAUUAGAAUAGAUUGAAUUUUUGAUAAAAAUUUCUAUUCCGUACCUAAAUAAAGAUCAAUAACUCCGAUCUUAAAUUGAAGGAUCCGAUCAUCUAUUUUUAGAAUGUCGUUCGAUUUUGACCGUUUAUUUUAUGCCUAUUUGAUAGACUCUUAAAAGUUUCAAAUAGUUUAGAUCAUAUUUAACAAAGUGGAUCACCGAAAACUCUAUCAUCAAAAAUAAUUUAUGAGUACGAAAAAUUUUAUACUCAUAAGAGUAUCCUGAUACCAAAAAAAGCCUUAGAAAUAUACGUACACGGCCACCAAAAAAAAAUUUCAUAUACAAGCCCUGCUUCAGAUCACGCAUCUAAAGUCAACGUCCCACGUGAUGCCACGUGGCCACGAGAUGCCCGCCUACGGUGUUGGAUCGUUAAAAUAACGCACGUGCUCCCCACGUGGGUGCAUUUAUAUACACUAAUUUAAUACUAUAUAUAAAAAUAUAUACGUAUUUUGAAUUUGAAUAUUUUCACUAUGCACAAUAAAUAGCAUUUUUAAUACCUCUUUUUCUUUACAUUUUUUUAUUAAAUAUUUUUUUUUGCGAUUGAAUAUUUUCAGAUUAUUUCAAUAUUAUUUACUAAUAUGUAGUUGUAUUAUUUUCUUUUUUGAUAACUAUGUAGGAUCUAUAUCAACAAACUUAUUUGACUCAAAAGAAUCCUAUGUCUUAUUAUAUAAUUUAAUGGUCGUUUCACAUCAUUUCAGGCUUGUUUGUUUCACCGAAGAUAAAGCUCAGAUUGGGAUCGAUUUUCAAAUAAACUAGAGUUCAUGCUAAAAUUUACUUUUCUUUUGAUUUUUGUUUGCGUAGCUGUAGAAAUGAAGUUUUAAAAGCCGGAGGUAUGAGAGAUAAAUUAAAAUUUUAUUAUUUUUUUCACACUUUUCUUUAGUAACUGGCUUUCAUCUUAUUUGAGAUGGGUCGAAGUCAAUUACGCUAUUUUGUGAAGUUUGAGUUUCAACUCAAAAUAAAUCUAGUUACGAUGAAAUACCAAACAACAAAAAUGAACAUUUAGGGUUGAAUAAAACCAUUUUACCUCUCUGUUGGGUGGGAUCCUAAUGGUCAAAAUUAAGGCAUAAUUUAAAUAUUAAAAAAUAAAACAAGGAGUUAAGAUUGAAACAACGAGAUUAAAACAGUAAAAAUUGGAGGUAUGAAAGAUGAAUUAAGAUUUUAUUAUUUUUUCUUUUUUUUUUGUGUAAUUUACUUUGGUUAGAUCUGAAAUGGACUGAAAUCAAUUACACCAUUUUCUGGAGUUUGAGUUUCGACCCAAGAUAAAUCUAGUGACGAUGAAAUACCAAAUAACAAAAAUGAACAUUUAGGAAAAUUAUUUCAUCUCUCUAAUGCGUGGGAUUCUAAUGGUCAAAAUUAAAACGCAAUUUAAAUAUUAAAAAAUUAAAGUAAGGAAUUAAGGUUGAAACAAUAAGAUUAAAACAGUAAAAAUUGGAGGUACCAAAGAUGAAUUAAGAUUUUUUUUAUUUUUUAUUUUUUGUAGUAACUAGCUUUGGUCAGAUCUGAAAUGGGCUGAAGUCAAUUACGCUAUUUUCUAGAGUUUGAGUUUUGACUCAAGAUAUUUCUAGUGUCGAUGAACAAAACUAAAGGUAAAUCUAGUGUCGAUGAAAUACCAAACAACGAAAGUGAAUAUUUAUGGUCGAAAACUAUUUCAUCUCUCUGAUGUGUGGGAUUCUAAUGGUCAAAAUUAAAACACAAUUUAAAUAUUAAAAAAUUAAAGUAAGGAGUUAAGGUUGAAACAACAAGAUUAAAACAGUAAAAACUGGAGGUAUUAUUGAUGAAUUAAGAUUUUAUUAUUUUUUUCUUUUUUUUCGUAAUUGACUUUGAUCAGAUCUAAAAUGGGCUGAAAUCAAUUACGCUAUUUUCUGAAGUUUGAAUUUCGACUCAAAGUAAAUCUAGUUAAGGUGAAACAUCAAACAACAAAAGUGAACAUUUAGGGUCGAAAAUUAUUUCAUCUCUCUAAUGAGUGGGAUUCUAAUGGUCACAAUUAAAACACAAUUUAAAUAUUAAAAAAUUAAAGUAAGGAGUUAAGAUUGAAACAACAAGAUUAAAAUAGUAAAAACUGGAGGUGUGGAAGAUGAAUUAAGAUUUUUGUUAUCUUUUCUCUUUUUUUUCAUAAUUGGCUUUGGUGAGAUCUGAAUAGGCUGAAGUUAAUUACGCUAUUUUCUGGAGUUUGAGCUUCAACUCAAGAUAAAUCUAGUGACAAUGAAAUACCAAAUUAAGGGAUAAUUUAAAUAUUAAAAAAAUGAGUAGGAUCCCACUGGUCAAAAUUAAGGGAUAAUUUAAAUAUUAAAAAAAAUUAAAGCAAGGACUAGAUUAAAACAGUAAAACAAGAGAUGAAUUAAAAUUUUAUAUUUUUUUUUCAUUUUUUUCAGUUAGAUCUAAGAUGGACUGAAGUUAAUUACGCUAUUGAUGAGUCAAAUCCUAAUGGUCAAAAAAUUAAGAUAUAAUUUUAAAAAAAUUUAAAAAAUGAAAAAAAAUAAAACAGGGAGUUAAGAUUAAGAGAAGAAGAUUAAAACAAAAGGUGAAACAAACCAACAUAAUAAAACAAAAUAAAAGCUAAGUGUAAAUAUUAAAAUAGUUUUUUUUAAAAAAAUAGAAUUAAAAAAAAAAAAAAAAAAUCUGUGGAAUGCUGUGCUUUGGAAGCAUCGGAUUCCGGCAUCCAGCUGGGGUGGGGUGGAAACUGGCAAGGCCGGCAGCUCAACGUGCAAACCCAAGCUGUAACGUGGGUCCCACACAGCGAAGCACACGUACUGUAUAAGAAAUAAUAUAUAACUAUAAAUUUCAUUUUCAAAAUCAUAGGAGUUUAAAAAUAUUUAAAUUAAAAAAAAAUCAAUAAGGGCAUUUUGAUCGACCAGGGAAUAUAUUGUAUAUUUCUGAAGUUCUCAAGGAUCGAUGUAUUUUAAAUAUUAUUCCUAAAUAUAAAUAAAUAAAUAUAUAUAUAUAUAUAUAAUAUAUUUUUUUUUUUUUGUUUGAACCAAAUCGGAUUGUUGGGUGCCACCUUGAACAGGCUCAAAUCCUCCAAAUAAUUAUAUAAUUUUUUUUUCUGUUUGUACCUGAACCGAACCUGAUCAAUUUGCUUUAUUGGAUCGAAUCAAUUAUUCUAUAUAUUUUCAUCUUUGAAUUAGAUUUUUUUUUUAAUUAUCUAAACCAAACCAAUAAUGCUGAACUGGAUCAAACUUCAUUAGAUCGAACCAAACCAAUUGCUCUACAUAUUUCUAUCUUUGAACCAGAUUUUUUUUUUAAUUUUUCUGAACCGAAUUAGUAAUUAUUGAAUAAGUGCUCCAUCCUGAACUAGCUCAAGUUCUCUUUUUUUUUUUGGCUUGAACAGAACCAAAUUUCUUUUCUUUACUUGAAUCGAACCGGUGCCCUCUUUCUUGCUUGAACCGAGCUCGGUCAAAUUUUUUGCCCUUUUUCACUUCUCUUUGUUUUUAUAGAAAUUUUCAUUAAGGACUUUUUUUAGAAAAAAAAAAUUUAACUGAUAUUUGUAUUAAUUUAUUAUUAAUAUUGAUAUAAAUAUAUAUGAUGAUAAAGUAUAUUUAGCAAAUACGUAAUAUCUUCAUUUAUUUUUAAACUAUUGACUUAUACAUACAUAUUGCCUACACAUUUAAAUAAUUUAUAAUCAAUAAUAUAUAAAUUACUUAAAAAUUUAUUUAAAAAAUAUAUCAUUAAUAUUUUUUAUUUUUUUUUAAAUUUUUUGCUCGUCGCAUUGUACGCGGUAUUACACUAGUAGUGCAUGAAAUGUGCAAGUGACCCUAAACAAUUUACCCCUCUAUAAAUACUCUUCUUGCUCUCUCUCUCUCUCUCUCUCUCUAAGGCCUCUCUCUCUUUAUAAGUUCUCUCUCUCUCUAUAAGUUCUCUCUCUCUUUCUCUCUCUUACUCUAGUAAAUCAUAUAUAGCAAUUAAUUGUGGUUUCAAAAGGAUAAACAUAUAUAUAUAAGAUCAAACUAAAUGGCAAGUGAGGGCACACUCACCUGUGUAGAGAUCCUACUUGCAAUCUUUCUCCCACCCCUUGGAGUUUUCCUUAAGUAUGAAUGCAAGGUAUGUAUAUUUAUAUGUGCGUGUGUGUGUAUAUAUAUAUAUGUAUACAUACAAAUUAAGUAAUAUUUACAUGUAAUUUUCUUAUAUAGAUCGAUAGUGUGCGUGAUAUAUGCAUGAUUCAUCUGAUCUUCACCAUGUACAUGAUGGACAUGAGCGAAAAUAUUAAUUCACAUGAUCUUUUCUACGAAAGUUAACACUUAAUUCGUCCUUAAAACUUUCACUUAUGUUAAAGAAACUUGACUUUUCCUGUAAAAAUUUAGAGACCAAGUUAUAUAGAUCCUAAUUAAUUUAUCAAUUUUUAUUGAAUAUAAGACCCACAAUAAUUAAUUAGUUUAAUCUUUGCUUUUGCAGAUUUAUUUUUUUUUUUCCCCCAAAAAAUUGCAAUAUUCUCACUCAUAUAUAAAUUUAUUGACAUAUGAUUAUUAUUAACUCUUAUUUUUAUUUUUUUGCUCUAUUUUUUUUUUCAAAAAAAAUAUUUAUAGGUUGAGUUCUGGAUCUGCUUGUUGCUGACCUUCCUCAUGUUCUUACCUGGAAUGAUCUAUGCCAUUUGGGUCAUCACCAAGUAAUUAAAUUUACUUUUUUUUUUUUUGAAUUUGGUCUUAUAUAUUAAUUAGUUGUAGAAAAUAAAGAGAUAAUUAUUUAAUUAAGCUGUUUAUUUCUUUUUGCAGGAAAUAGUUAUAUAUGGUGAUGGUGAAAAUAUAUAUAUAUAUAUAGGUUGCAUGGUGUUUGCACUAUAAAGCUUGUAAUUUAAUAAGUGGUUUUGUAUGACUUUAAUUUAUUUAUAUUUCUUAGGUUAUUAAUGUGUGGAGAGGUUAACUAAUUUUAUUCUGUGUGGAUUUAUAUGUAUCAUUAUUCAUGGACUUAGUUUUAAUUUCCAUGCAUGGUUUUUUUUUUUUAAUUAGUUGAUGAAUAAAUAAGUACUCCUUUUUUUUUAAGUUAAUUUGUUGUAGUUCAUAUUUGAAGCUCCUCUCUUGUUUGAGAAGUUAACGGUGAUGAUCAUAACUCUUGAUUAAUUAAUUAAUUAAUUAUGAAGCACAAAAUCAAAAUUAAUAAGCCCUAGAGUAAUUAAAUUCCAAAAGGACUUUACUUUUUAAUUUGCAAAAUUAAGAAAUAUCAUUUAUUAUGGCAGCUAUUAUUUUCUAUUAUUAAAGAAGAGUAAUUAAACCUAAAUUUUUAGUUUAAGUUAUCAAUUUUGACGUCCACGUCUUAGAUCUAUUAAAAUAUCUCGAGUUUACGUAUGAGAAAAAUUAUUGAAUAUUAAAAAAAAAAGAUUAAUUAAUUGCGCAUGUUUUCCUAUAAAGCAAUAAAAUUUGUAUAUUAAUUUCUAUAAAAUUUUAUGUAUAUUCCUAUAUAAAGUUUUAGUUAUCAAAUACAUCUCUUUAAAAUUAGAUAAUUUGACAGUGUGACCUUCUCCGCUAACUGAAGGUUAAAGUUGACAUUUUUUCCUUUACAGCAAAUAAAUUAAAUAACGAUUUUACCCUAUUAUCUUUUUAAUUAUAUCUAAUAGUAUUUAUUAUUUUUAAGGGUAAACUUCAAAUACCAAUACUCCCGUGGUUUCGUAUUUUUUCACUUUAGUACUCUGUCGUUUAAAAUGUAUCAAUUUAGUAUCAUGUGAUUUUAUUUUUCUAUUUUCGUCACCUUCUCCGUUAUCAAAUAUUUAUUUUAGUAUCUUUUAGUUUUAACUUUGUCACUAAAGUAAUGAAAAAAUAUAAUGAGAAGGAUAAUGAAAAGAAAAAAUUAAAUAACAGAGUAUUAAAUUAAUGUAUUUUGAAUCACAUGAUACUAAAAUAAAAAUAUAUAUAACUGUAGAGAUGAUACUUGAAGUUUUUUUUUUACUUUAAAAUAGGAUGGUGUUCAACUUGGAGAGUAUCUAUGAUUGAACAAAACCCUAUAAUAUAUAAGUGGGGACAAAACAGUCCCUAUCAUGAAACUGUCUCAUCCAGCUGCGUCCGCAAACGAUGGACGGAUGUGAUGGUCCCACGUCACACAGAAUCGUCCUACCAAAUUUCUUCUUUUUUUUUUUCCAUAUAUGCCACGUUAUUCACUAGCUAUUAAGAUCCAUCCAGCAUAGGAAAAAAGCUUCGCCGGAGAGUUUCCUAUGUGCAAUAAUAUUCUGCAUUCAAUAAUAGGUUGAAUAUUUUUUAUUUCUCAAAUUUUUUAAAAUAAUUGAAUAUUAGAUAAAAAAAUUAUGAAGGUUAAAUAAAGAUGAAAGUGACAUGAGCCCUACGAUUCGAAUCCUAGUUGAUUCAAAUUUUCAGCUAAGUUUAUUUCUUAAUGAAAUAAAACGAAGCGGAUAGUGGCGUGCUACCUAUCUCUCUUAAAAAAAAAAAAAAAAAAGUGACACGAGGCGACGAAUUAUGACUCUUAGGGCUUGUUUGAUUCAUCCAUUUUGGGUAUGGAAUGGAAAUCAGUUUGAUCAAAUUCGGUUAAUUUUGUUUGGUUCGCAUGAAUCGGUUUGGGAUUCCUACUCCGGACUGGAAUGGGAAUGGCUCAUUAGCCUUCAACUUGAUUCCGGUCUUCUAGCCCGGAUUGAGAUUUCAUCCAGAAGCCCACUAAGUUCUCGAAGCUCAUGUGACCAGCUCACCCUCCUUCUCUUCACCCCUUUCUCAUCAAAAAAAAAAAAAAAAAACCUAUCAUCUCUCAAAACCCUAGCCCUAACCCACAUCAAUAAAAAAUUUUAAAAAUAAAUUUGAUAUUUUUUUUGAAAAACUUAUUAGAGAAUAGUAUGAUAUUUUUCAUAAAUUUUAAAUAAUAUAAAUUUAUAUUUGAGAGUAAAAUUAGUAUUAUAGUAUCCUAUAAUUUUUUUAGUUUAUACGAAUCAAACAAUAAAAUGUGAAUAACUCAUUCCAAUUCCCAAUCCACAAAUAAACCAAACGUCUUGGGGGAGUGGGCCAUUUCAAUUACCAUUCCAAUUCAUUCCCAUUCCAUAAUCCAUUCCACUUCCACCCUUGAACCAAACAAGCCCUUAAUGUGGUACUAGUGAAGUUAUCCGCGCAUUACAGUAGAAUAAUGCUAUAGAAGACAAAAUAUAAACAAAAUAAAAUUUUAAAAUUCUUUUACUUAAAUGAGACUUCAAUAAAUACAAAUAGAAGAUGUAUAACAAUGUAGGUAUAAAUGUAGCAAUAUUUAUAAUUUUAGUAAAUAAAUUACGUAUAACAAUAAUAAAAAAAGCAACAAAAGAGUUUCUAUCCCAUACAUACCUUGAUCGCAUUGUCGACAUUUGGGAGGCAAAUCCCGAUUUUUACGUUGCCUUCGCCGCUAAUAUCGAGCUCCUUCUUAGUAACGAUCAUGUAUAUCUCGUACAGAUCCUAACUCCCACAUUCACUACUUCUUCUCCCUCACUGACUCCAAAUUCAUCGUUGCUUCCUCCUGCCAUGAUCUCCGAAACCUUAAUUUUAAUCGACACACAACUUUAAAAAAUAGAAAAAGAAUUAAAAUAAGUCACAAAACAUGAACCCCUCCUUAUGCGCCAAGAAAAAAAAAAGAAAAAAAGAAAACAAUACAAGAAAAAAAAAAAGUAUAAAGAAAUCUUAUUUUACUCAUUUAUUUUUGUGAAAUUAAUUUAUUUAGAUGACUGACUAUGUAAACACAUUAAUUGAGGGGUGGGGGUUAGGAAGAUGAAGCAUUGGGUGGAGAUGGAAUCAUGUAAACAUAUUAAUUGAGAGAGGUAGGGAUUAGAAAAAUAAAGUAUUUGAUGGAGAUGGGACUAUAUAAACACAUUAAUUUAGAGGUGGGUUAGAAAGAUAAAGCAUUGGGUAGAGAUGAGAGUGGGAAGAUGGAAGACAAGGGUGAAAGAAGAUUCGGGAUGUGGUAAAAAUUUAGAAAAAAUAAUGUACAGGUAUAUAGAGAUAUAGAUAACGGCAAAUGAGAUCGAUCGAUGUACUCAUGAACCAGGUUUAUGGAAUUGUACGUUAUUUUCUGGUGCAUACAGCGCGUGCUUAGCUGUGUGGGCCCCACGUUAAACGUCCAAGCAUAUGCAUUUACGCCUUCUUUUUAUUUUUUUUAAGGGUAUAUUUUUAGUUUAUUAUUAUCUAAAUUUAGCUUAUUGCAUUGUUUUAUUUUGGAAAAACUUCAGACACCACCCCUGCAUAUUCAUACUUUUUCACUUUAGUAUCAUAUGUUUAAAAUGUAUCAAUUUAGUACCCUGUGAUUUCGUACUUUCUCACUUUAGUAUCUUGUGGUUUAAAGUGUAUCAAUUUAGUACCCUGUGGUUUUAUUUUUAUCUUUUCAUCAGCUCCUCUGUUAAUAUUUCGUUAAAUUAUAUACCAAAAACUCCAGAUACCCUAUCUAAGUUUAUUGAAUAUUUACCUCAGUAUCCUUUAAUUUUAACUUUGUCACUGAUUUUUUUGUUCUCUGUUAAAAUUUCGUUAAAUUAUAUACAAAAAAGUUCAGAUACCCUAUCUAGGUUUAUCGAAUAUUCACUUUAGUAUCCUUUAAUUUUAACUUUAUCACUGAUUUAACAAAAAAAAAAUAGUGAAAUGUAUAAUGAAAAAAGAAAAAUGAAACCACAAGGUACUAACUUGAUGCACUUUAAACCACUGGGUACUAAAGUGAGAAAGUGCGAAAUCAUAGGGACUAACUUGAUAUACUUUAAAUCACAGGAUGCUAAAGUGAGAAAGUGUGAAACCACAAGAGGGGUAUUUGAAGUUUACCCUUUCGUUUUACUUCUUAUUUUAAUCUACUUGUUUUGAACUUGCUUCUUGUGACAUGUAAUGUCGUGUACAGUUAGGAGUCUUUUGGUUUGAUGUAAGUAGAAAUACAGUGUAAUUGAAUAUGCAGCAGUUAUAGCUAUUUAUAUCACGUUUGGAUAAGUGCAGUUGAAAGUGCUGCAACUGUAAAUAAUUUCGAACAACAUAUUACAUUGGGAUUUAUUAGACUUGAUUUAAAAUCUGUAUGUUGUCUGAAUCUAUACUUGAUUUAACCUGAUUAAUUUAAGCUAUAUGUUUUUUUUAAAAAAUAACUAUAUAUAGUAAUUAAAAUCUACAUUCAUAUGUUUAAAGUAAAGGGUUAAUUCCAUACAGAUCCCUGCAAAUUUAGUGAAUUGCAAAUAUAUUCGUACAAAGUUUAAUUUUCAUAUACCGUCCCUACAAAUAUAGUCAUAAUGUUUUCAAAUAUAUCCGUAAUAUUUUUACCUCUCUUACAUUAUACCUACUCGUUUCAAUCAAAACCUUAAUAAUGAAAACUUUUCUUUCUCUUCCUGGUUAGUCAAUGGAAACCCGUAACUUGAAUUUCUCCAUUUCCAUUCAUCAACAAGGCGUGUUGCUUCGCCCAUAUCAAACUCGUAUUGUUUUUCCAUUCAUUUUUCAUUAUGAUUUUUUUCCUUUUUUUUUUUUUGCUCAAAAGAAAAGAUUUAGAAAAAAAAAAAAAGUGAGAAAAGAAGUUGCAACAAUGGGGAAUGGGUUAGAUUUUAAAAAGGAAGAAGAUGAGAAAAAAAGAUGAUCAUUGAAAAUUUUUUGAAGGAACAUUUCUGUACCAUUAUAGCUGUUGUCGUUUUUUGAGGGACAUAUUUAUGAUGACAAAAUUGUCAUUUCAUUUAUUUGCUAUUAAAAUAUAAACAGUUCUCUAUUAAUCCCAAAAUAAAGGUAACGUACUCAUAAAGACAUUUCAUUUUUUAUCAAUAUAAUUUAACUUUAUUAUUUAAAUUAUUACUCGAAUUUUUAUGUCCAAACCCAACCCA
Molecule: long non-coding RNA, 56621 nt
Filed under: Ananas comosus (pineapple)
Lineage: Eukaryota; Viridiplantae; Streptophyta; Magnoliopsida; Poales; Bromeliaceae
Description: long non-coding RNA (ACOM_LNC026434)
Source: RNAcentral